CAAGCAGGAGCUAAACAUAGUGAUGUAAUGAAGACCUACGACAUUAAUGCUAUUCCUUCCAUGAAGCAAGUAAGUUUUGAACCAAAGCCUACACUUCUUGAUAAUGUCAUACGGUUCCUAAAAGGCCAGAAAACAAAUAUCUCGACCGAAACACAUGAUGCUUUGCUAGUGGUGGCUGCACUGGUUGCAACAGCCACUUUCCAAGCGGUUCUCAGCCCACCGGGAGGGCUUCGACAGGCUGACAGUAGCGACAGUGAUUCACUUCCGUUCAGCAAGGUGGGGAAGGUGGUGAUGAAAGAAUGGUUAUACAUAACUUUCUUGAUUCUUAAUAGUACUUCAUUUUGGGUGACAAUCAUAACCAUUUAUCUUUUACUCCCAAACGGGUUUUAUGGUCAGCUAUCGACUCUACCCUUAAUUCUCUUCUCGAUUACCUACUUGUUCUGCUCAACAAUCAUAUCACCAAGCCUCAUUUGUGCCAUUGUUAAUUUCAGCUUUUUCAUAUGUUGUGUGGUGUUACUCAGUUCAGGCCUUGUGGUUAUAUCCAAUCAUUCCUUGUUGUCCUACAUCAGGAAAUUAUGGUCCCGUUGCAGAUAGGAUGAUUUACUUGCGGAUUUGGAGUUUGUUGCAUGGAACCUCCUCAUCACUUGUUUGUGUUGUGUUACUCUGUCUACGACAUAACGUUGAACUCUAUUGCUAAUCGUUGAAUAAUGCGUUGUAAUUAAAGUUUGUAUUCGAAUAAUGUGUUGUAAUUAAAGUUUGUAUUCAAUCAGUGAGAAGGGAAUGGAUGAAUUUAAGAAAUUUAGUAGCCAUUUAAUUAGGAUGCAUGAGUUACAGAUUAACUACUUGGCUAGAAUAGAAGAAAGUAUAGAAUUUAAAAGUAGAGAUUGUAAGUGAUGAAGCCAAUGUAAGCUAAAAAAAAAAGUAAACUAAAAUUUCAUAUUCCAUCAUGAGUGUAUUUUCCCUUUACCAUCUUCAGAGUUUUUUCAACAAAGUAUUAAUCAAAGUUAAAUAUCCUUACAAAGAAAAUAUAGUGAAAAGAGAGUGAGAAAAAAAUGAACUUUUAAAGUGAUGAGUCAUGGAUUUCACAACUAAUUUAUUAAUCAACAAUAGAUUUUACGGUAAUGUUUGUAUAACAUCUUCAUACCCGAAGAAACUACUAAGAAAAUUAAGUUCGUUCAAUGAUUUUAUUUAACUAAUUAAAUUAUUUUACUUUUAUGUCACUUUUUAAAUGCAUAUCUAAACUUAAUACCAACUUUAGGUAGCUCUAUUAUUAGUUAAUAAAUGAAUAGGGACCAAAUUAUGAAAUUUGCAAACACAUUUGCUUCUAACUCUUUGACCCACAUAAAAAUAUGACAUUUAAUGUGUGCUACUAUUAUUAGUACUUUUAAAGAACUAUAAGGAAAAUAUUUCUCAAUAGUGCAACUUUAUUGAUUGAUACACAUACAUCAAGCAAAAGUACACAUACCCAAGUUUUUUGUUUAUUAUGCGUAAGGCAAAGUUUUGGGCACUUUGCUGACAUAUAAACACCUACUUAAUAACAUAAUAAUAAUGAAGCCACUAUAAUUGAGGAAAUUAAUUAUCUUUUAAAAGGUUCUUACUUUCUUUUUUCUCAAGAAGUUCAAUUGCGAUGUAUUUCAUUCAAGCUCAAUAUCUGAUUCAUAAGCAACUCCAGCUUUCCAAUCACUAGGAAUAACAUUUGAUGCCUGCACCCAAUAUACACCCGCUCUACCUUGAACUUGGAAUCUCAAAGUGACCGCUCCCGAUCGUGGAUACGUUGUGUCGAAAACUGCCCCGUAUGCCCUCCUCAUCCCUAUCCAUUCCUUACAAUCCGCCUGCAUAAUUCAUAUCACCAACAAAAUUUUGAUUACUAUGCUUUUAAAAUUAGGUUAAAUCACUAUUUAAGAUCACUAUUUAAGGCCUGAAUUUGACAAUUACAUUCAUAUCUAAAAUAUAGAAUGUAAAUUCUUUUUAUUCUUAGUUCUUGAACUUGAUAAUUAAUCUCACAUUGGAAGCUUGAACUAGACAAUUAUUCUCAUAUUGGGACAUGAACCUUUUUUAGUCUAGGCUAAUCUUAAAACUUCGCAAUUGUUUUUAUAUUGGGCCUUUAGUUUUAGGAUUUUCAAAAUAAAAUUAGGCAUCAAUGUGAAAACAAUUAUCUUUUUUGUCCCAAUGUAGGAAAAAUUAUCAAGUUCUGAAAUUAACUUGGACAAAAAAAGUUUCAAGCUUCAAUAUAAAAAUAAUUGCUAAGUCCAAAUCUUAAAAAAAAAUCUAAACCUUUAAAAUUCCUUGAGCUCACCAACAAUGUAACACUUCAAUUUACCUGCCAAACAUCUGCGGCUAGAAUUUCUGUUUGGCCAGCUUGGUAUAAUAUUACAAUGGCCAAGUAAUUUGGGUACUUGCUAUGUUCAUGAACCUUGAGUUGCAUCUUGUAACCACCAGGGGAUUCGCUGGUAUUCUACUUCGACUACUCCGUAAGCGAACAGCUCGGCCGCUUUGUCCGAUUAAUGUGCCAUCCUAGAUUAAGCGCGGGGGCUGAGGAUGAAAUCAGUGUUGUCACCUUCGCCGUAGUCGGUCACCACUAUGUUCACCCCAUUAUCAGUACAGAGUUGGGGGUUUGUGCACCUAACCUGAGAGUUAAAAUCAAAACAAAUUCAAGUGACAUUAGUUAGCAAUAACAUUGAGUCGAGUUGGAAGAAUGACAAAUUUCAGCUUGAACAGAAUUUAAAUUUUGAAUUCCAUCGAGUAUAAUUUUUAAAGCUCAAGGUAUAAUUUAAUUUAUUUGAUCACUCAAGUUUUAUAUUUGAGCUCGAGCUUGAAUUAUAUUUUUGCUUAUACAAUUUUGGUAUUAAUUAAACUUAAUAAAUAAUGAAUAUAUAAUAAGAAAUUAAAAAGUUUUAGGCAACAAUUAAAUCUAAAUUUUCUAAUGAUCAUUGCUGGGUGGGUGAACUAAUUGGACCAAGAAUCAGUUAGGGUACUAAUCCGGAAAAAGGUGUUGUAAAUCGGUUGAACAAGUUUUUUUUUACUAUUUUUUAAUAUAUAUAUUUUUUUAAUAAUUUAUUCGAUUAGACCAACAAAUCAAUCGAAUUAAUCAAAUUGAUCAGACUGGGAAUUGGUGGUCGAACGAUUCAGCUAUCGAUCUAGUUCUGGAAACCUUGAUAAAAAAAAUAUUUAAUAUUUAUUUAAAUAUAUAUCAAGGAUAAAAAAUAAUUUAAUAAAAUAAAAUACUUAAUAUAUCUUAAAAAUGAAAAACUAGAUUAAGCUCAUGUUGGAAUUGUGUAUCAAGAUACUUAAAUUUGACUUUUUUAAUAAUUCAAAGUGCUCAAACUCAACUCCGUGAUUAUCAAAUAAGAAUCGAUUUUGAAGCUUAUACCUGAUAGCAAGUACCACAGCCAGUUCCAUUUUUGUAGAGCCUGUAAGAAACCCCAGCCACAUUCGCAUCAUUCACAGUCCUUCCAAAUUCUCCAUAUCCACAAGCUCCCCCUAAAAUUCAUCACAUAAUUGUUAGCUAAAACAUGAUAAACAUUGAAUAACCAUGCAUAAUUUCUUCAAGUAUUCAUGUUCGAAUAUGUGUCAAAGAACGAAGAGUCCAAGCAAUACGAUAAUGGUAAAUAAAUAAGGAGCAAUGUUCAUACUUGGAGUCCCUAAACAAUCAGGGCUGCCAUAGUAAGUUGCUCUGGACUUUACAUAGUCCUGAGCACAACACAGUGUAGGCAGAAACACCAUGACAGACAUAAGGCAGCAAUGAAACUUCAAUGAGAACCCCAUGUUUUCUGCAACAAAAAAUUUAUAGUAAUAAUGGAACAAAAUUAAAAAGAGAAAUGUAGUUAAUGAGAUGAGAAGCUAAGAGACCAGAGUUCCCAUAUUUAUAGCAGAAAUGAAGAGUUAUGUGUAUGCAAUAUCUGCAGGUUGAAUUUGAAAAGGUUAUGUGUCAAUUAUUACUAUGCUCUUGGGAUUAAAUUAUUAAGUUUAUCCUACAAUUGGUUUCCAAGGAUUAAAGUAUAAUAGUGGAGACUAUGUUUUCUCCAUUUCUUCUCUGUCUCUAUCAAUGGAUAGAUGAAAUUAGAGAAUCCCACAUUUUCGGAUUUAGAAUUUGUGUUUAUUAGAGUAUAAUAUUUUUUUUUAUAACUUUGAUGAUUUAGGGUGGGUUUAGAUGGGUGGUGCGUUUACCUGCGGUUAGUGUAAAAACAGCGGUGGCGGUGAGAUUAGAUACUGUAGCGAUACUAUAACGUGAGACAAAAAGUAAGUUAAACGCACCGCACCGCACUCAAUCGCCUAUCCAAAUCCACCUUUAAUGUAUUUUUAAAAUUUUGUCUUUCGACUUUAAAAAGAGUCUAUAACAUCUCUUAAAUCACUGAACAAUGAAUACGUGCCUAUUAACAGCAAUGCUCAUAUGGAACAAAAAUCCUUUAGGGUGCGUUGAUUCUUUAGUGGCAUCCAAAAACAGGGACGACACCAAAGGCAGGAGCUUAAGCUAUGAAAUAUCAGUUUAGUCCCUCCAAAGUAUACAUGUUUUCCAUUUUAGUAUUAAAUUUUUUUGUCCCUUGAAAUCUAAGCCAUUACUCCGUUAUAGAUUUGAGUCGAAAAAGUAAAAAGAGCUAGAAGGAUUAAUUGGCGAAUCAACCAAUAAGAAGAUACCACAUGAAAGUUCGUUACACAUGACAAUUAAUGACAUGACAUUCAUUUAAAAAUAUUCAAAAUACAAAUAUAUGUAUAUAUAAUAUCUAAAAAAUAUAUAAAUUUUAUUAAAUUUAAAAAAAUCAAAUUUUUACAAUAUAUAACUAUAUAAAAUAAAAAAUUAUAAAAACAUCAUAUAAAAAAUUCCAAAUUAUAUGUAUAAAUUCAAAUUUUUACUAAAUUUAUUAAAUUUAAAGAUUCAAAAAAUUAUAAUAUAUAAUAUUUUAUAUACAAACAUUAUAUAAAAUAUAAAACAAGGGGGAAAUAUAUAUAUAAAUUCAAAUUUUAUUAAAUUUAUAUUUAUAUUUUUAUAAUAUACCAAUUACAUAAAAUAAAAUAAUAUAUAUAACAUUAUUUAAAAUAUAAGUAAUUUGAGAAAAGGAAAAAAAAUAACUCUAAAAAUUUUAAAAUCUAUAUUACAAUGUUCAAAAGUCAAACAUUAGCGUCAAAUUUGGCACAAAAAUCUAUAUUAUGAUGAUAUCGGUAAUAGCACCGUUGAGUGACAUGACCAAAGCGCUCACAAAUUUGGCACUAGUGGCGUAGCCAAAAACUGUUAAACUUUGGCCUGCAAUGCAACAUGGAACCAGCAGCAAGCUCACAUCAAGACCAGCAACAGCAAAGCAGUUUGAAGUGCAGCAUUGUAGCUGAACCGAAUGCAACAGUUGUUUUGGUUAUUUUGUUCCCGUGUAACUUUGCUUAGUUUACUUGCAACUUGUUUAACAAAGUUAGUAGGAUUAGUUUAUGAUGUAAUGGCUGAUAUGUCAGCUUAUUUUGUGUGUAACUUAAGUUAGCAUUAGUCUAGUAUUAGUGGGGGCAGUUAAGCCAUUAAGUAACUGUCAAAUUAACAUUGUAACUCUCAUAUAUUUCAAAAUUUUGAAUGAAAAUUAGUAUGAAUCCUUUAGUUACAAUUUUUGCCAUUAGUUUUCUUUCUUUUUGCUUCGAUUUCUUUGCUUGGUCUUCUACUUUUGUUUGUUUUUAUUUUAUUUUACUGCUUAAGUUCCAACAAAUGUUAAUCAGAGUCUGUCAUCUUUAAAGGCCUCUGUUGUUGGUUGUUUCUUUCCAAAACAAAACUUGAGAAGAGAGAAAUCGAAACUGUUGGGCUUGUUUCAGCAGGAUGAGUUUUACACCACCUCCACCACCUGUGCUCACUAGAAAGAACUACCAUAUUAAAGGUUUGGAUCUAGAAACGAAAGAUAAAAUAAAAAUAGAAUUAGGAAUAUUGAAUCGAAAAUUCGAGAAAUUAAAAAUAGAGUUGAGAGAAAGGAAAUUCUUAUGGGAGAUUUCAGCCUCUAGUUGUCUUGUUCCGCCUUGGGUUCAAUCCUCGGCUUUUAGAUGAUUCUUCCCAAACCAAAUAAGCCAGUUAUAAUGGAAGAGGACACCUACAACCACCAGCUCCAAGGAUUUAGACUUACAAUUUAGUGGAACCUGACUCUAGCCAACAAUCGCUUCUGUAAGAUCGUCUUAUGCUAGAUCAACGCUUCUCAAUGGCGAAUCCCAUGCCAUUUUGUCUAUUGGGCUCGCCAGCCUCUGACGCAGUAAGCUAACGAACCGACUAUGCAACCUUCCCAAAAUAUACAAAGUGGCCGCCUUUGCAUACGUUGAAAAGCUUACUUCUUAAGGGACAUGGACAGAAGCGUCAACCCCGUAGUGCGGAGAAACGAUGAAUACUCAACGAGGAGGCUAAGUAUGGACUCUAAGCCUCAAGAACCCUUUUUGGGGAAUAUCAACAACUUUCGGCUAGAUGAGUUUAGUAGCUCAUGGUUGUGGUGGAAAAGAAAAUAAAUAUAAUAAAAAUGGAGAUUUUUUUGAAAAGAAAUAUGAGAAGAACAAAAGCCUAGACUUUUGGGGAGAGAGUGUUUAUAGCAAAAAAAAGAUGGAUCUCUUUUGAGUUACUUCACCCCCUAUUUAUAGUGCUAGGGGAGAUAGUCUAAUCCUACAUAAACUCCCAAAAGAUAAAUACAUUUAAUUGAAGAUAAAUAAAGAUAAAUAACAUAAAAUCCUAAAAUUAGAUAAUCCUUAAUAAUUAUCUUAAUAUUAAUUAUCCUAAUAUAAUUAAAAUAGAGUUUGAUAGAAUAAAAUCUUUUCUUUUUGCAUUUCAACCCUUGUGUCCUCCAUACUUGCACUUUUGGCACCAACUUUUCUUUGUGUCGCACAUUGGCCCAUUUUAUCUCUAAAUUCACACUUUUGGCCCUUAAUUUUGCUUUUGCCUCAAAUUUAGUCCCUAUGAGAUAAAAGAUCACGAAUAGCUCAAAUUAGCAGGAUCAUACUCAGAAUAAAUACAUAAUUAAUACAUAAAAAUACAUUAUUCUAGAGUGUUUUUAGUUUAAAUCGAAUAUGAAUUACACAAUUUGAGUUAUCCGAAAAUCCGAAUAAGAAAAGACAAAACUAUGUCGUUUUAAUAAAUGUUUACUCUUUAAAAAGUUAAAAUUCAAAACAAUUAAGUUAAAAGGCAAAACUAUGUCGUUUUAAUAAAUGUUUACCCAUUAAGUUAAAAGGCAAAAUCAUUAUAUUGUUCAUGUAGUUAAAUAAUCUUGUACUUUGUCUACUAGUUAAAUAAUUGGUCCAUCUAAAUGCAACAUUAAGUAUAAAUAAAAUGAUUCAUUAACUCGACUUGAUUUGACUCGAAAUUUUUUGACUCGAUUCAAUUCGAUUUGAAAAAAAUUCAAAUUGAGUUUGGUUGCUAAAAUAGGAUUUGUCAACUUGACUAACUCAAAAAUUUUUGACUCGAUUAUACUCGACUCGAUCAAAUACUCACCCUUAAUUCCCAGAGGGAUCAUCAAUGGGUUAGGGGGACCAAAUUUCAUAAGAGCAAAAUAAAAGGGCAAAAAUAGAAGUAAAAAUAAUAAGUUGUAGGACGAAAUUGAAAACAGCAAAAAAGCAGAAGGGCCAAAGCAGUAAUUAGACCCUCCCCUUUAAAAACAUGCUGAUCCUAAGGGAAUUCGAGUCAGGUCAUCGGGUCGGCCCCGAAAUGACACCAUUUUGGGGCGUUUACGGGCAUGACGAAAUGACGUCUUUUAAGUAACCUUAUUUAAGUAAAAAAUAUUUUUAAAAAAUCAUUUUAAAAUAAUUUUUCAAAAAAAAAAUUCAUUCCUCUUUUUUCUCUGAAGCUCUUCCUGUGUUCGGCUACAGGGCCGUCGGCGCUACACCAAGGCCACUAGUCAUUGGCGAUGGUAGUCGUCGCCUCUGGUGGUCGAAGUUGUAAAAAAUAGACUUUUUAUCUCUGUUAAACAGGGAACCCGGAUCUAAGGCCAAAAUCCCUAAAACUCGGUCAAAAUCUAAAAAUGCAAAAGGGACCUUUGGUUCCCGACCAUCUUCCAACGCGACCUUUCGGUGAAUCCCCAAGGAUUCGAUGGCCUUUCAAGCCAAAGGGGACAUCGACAGUGGAGGCAAAGGUAAAAAAGUUUUGUAUUUUAUUUAUUAUUUUUAUAUGUAUACGAUAUAAAAUAAUAUACUUUUUUUAAGAACUGGAAAUUUUUAUUCCUUUUUGCUCUUCUUUUUUUUAUUACAAUCUGUUUGUUUUGCUUUUAUAGCCGAUUGAUUAUAAAUAUUUGUAUUUGUAUUUAUUUUUGCUUUUUCUUUUUUUUUAUUCCGUUUUUGUCUUUUUCUUUCUUCUUUGCAGGUCGCGAUGGUAGUCAACGACGAUGGGAGUCACACCCUUGUCAUUUCAAUGAAUCGAUAGCAGGGGAGGCAAUCCUCGAGUGAAGCAUCCGUUGACGUGGCCAGGAGCAGCGGCGUAUAAGAGAUCUAGGGUUUUUUUUAUUUUCUAAAAAAAAUUUAGGUUGUGGUCUUGAGCUUAUGUAACAUUGGGUUUGGGUUUGUAAUUUGGGUUAAGGUAAAUUUUGUUUUUGUUUUGUCUUUGUUUGGGUUUAUUUAUUUGUAUUGGCCAGGCAAAAUUGGGUUACUACAUAUACAUAUAUGAUUUAUAUUUCUAGAGUUCUCUAGGAUGGACUCACAAAUGCACUGAUAACGAAGACAUAAUAGACUUUGAAGGUGUUCAUGUAUGCUACUAACUUUUUGUGCCAAGCUUGAUAGUUCCCAUGCCUCCGAAGUCGAUGUAAUGAACUUGAACCAAAAACAAAAAAAUGAUUUGAUCAUUGAUAAAUUUUAUCAUCAUAUUUUGUCAUUAAGAGCACGUAAAAAAUUUAUCUCUCCUCGUGUCUCAUCCCUACAAGACCUAUAAUCUGUGCAGUACAAGCGACGACACUCCAAAUGAUCCAGUAGGUAGCAGUGGGGAUAUGAGCCAUGGCAGUCGACAAUGGCGGCAUGUUAAAGAUAAUAAAACGAUUAGAGAGGUAGUUAGUGAAUGUUGAAAGGUUAGUUAGUUUGUUAAAGAAAGCUAGUGAUUUGUGUUUAUAAAUACAAAUGUAUGACUUUGUAUUGAGGCAAGUAAACAGUCUAAAUUCAUGAGUAAACAUUUGUUUCAGUAAAAAUUUUCUCAAAGUUACCUGGUUUCUUCAUGGUAUCAGUCGCUAGGAGUUCUUGAUCAUGGCAACAACAAACUCUGCUGCGUUAGACUCUGCUGAAGUGCAUGGCUCAGUCUUUGCUGCUGAUCGUGUGGUGAAUUCGUUUCCUAGGCAUGAAGUUGUGAAGCUUGAUGAAGGAAUGUUUCUUCAAUGGAAACAAUAGGUGCGUUUCAUUGUUAAUGGCUAUGAUUUGUUUGGUCUUUUCGAUGGAUCUAUUGCUGUGCCGUUGAGGUUUGUGCAAGCACCAGAUGGUGCGCUUGUGGUCAAUCCAGUGGCAUCAGUGUUUUAGCAACAGGAUAACCUUCUCACCUCUUGCCUUCUCUCCACUAUCAGUUCGUCAAUUCUUUCUUCGUUCAUGGAUGUUCAAUCGACGUUGGAUGUUUGGACUAUGGCGUUGGCAAUGUUCGCGGCCGAUUCUGAUCAGAGGCAGUCACAAUUGCGACAUGAACUUCACUCUCUCAAGAAAGAGAACAUGUUGAUUCGUGAUUAUGUUACGAAAUUAAAAAGCGUGUGUGCUCUAUUGGAGGCAUCUGAAACCUCUAUCUCAAUGGCGGAGAGGACGGCGGUGCUUCUUGUGGGGCUACCGUCUGACUUUGAGGGUGUUGUAUUGUCAGCCUCAUUGUCUCCAACGCCGUUACCGUUUCAGCGUCUAGUGGACGAUCUUAUCGAGUGUGAAAAUCAACAUGGUCAACCAAGUCAAGAGGUUGUUUAUGCUGCAAACCUAGUGGAAGACGUGUCCAUGGAUGGGUCGUCACGAGGAGGACGAUCGGGGGUGCGUGGCCAUGGUAGGACCUUCAGGCCGCGUCUCCAGUGCCAGAUCUGUUCACGAUUUGGUCACGUGGCUCAGAAAUGCUAUUACCGAUACUACCGUGACGACUCGUCUCUGGUGUAACCUCUGAUGCAAAAUUCAAUGCUGAGCUACCAUGAUUCAGGCAAAAGUGGCUGGCACUCUCAACCAAACACCAGGCCUAGGUUUUCAAACCUUGGUCAAAAUUGCUAUGGGACCAGUCAAAUUAAUUGUGCUACUGGUCAAAAUUAUUUCGGGCCUAGUCAAAAUGCAGUUGGUUUUGGUCAAAAUUUGUGUGCUGAAUGGGGGGUUCAAUGAGCAGCGUGGAGGCCGAAUGUUGGGCCACAUGGUUGGUCCAGGCUGAGUGAUGAAUGGCGUGGUUUUAGGCCUCCCAAUCUUGGGCCGCACACUAGUGGGCCAACUGAUGGUGUUAAUGGCAGAUUUGGACUGCCUUCUCAUCUUGGGCCGAAUGUUGGGCAGAAUAUUCCUCCGUUGUCCACAAAUCCGUUUGUGAAUAAUAUGCAGCUCAAUCAGGCUAACCCGACCGGUCAUAUUCUAGUCCUGUGGCGUACCAAGCCGGGUGCGCGCGUGUUUUCAGCUUCAAAUCCAUGUUUUGGGCUUCCUAAACUGGGAUAUUUACAUGCAUCUAAUUAUUUGGAUUUGUCGAUCUCUAGCUCCCAUAUUAACUAUGAUCGACAUAGAGUGAGUGGAGACGAGUCUGACUUAUCGAUUCCUGGACCAGUUGGGACGUUAUCCUGGUAUCCUAAUUCAGGAGCCAGCAAUCAUGUUUGUCGGGAUCCGUCAGUUUUGUAUAAUGCCGCUCCUUAUUCAGGUACGUCUUCUAUUUUAAUGGGUGAUGGUUCGCCCGCACUGAUAUCGUCCGUUGGUCAAAAUAUUUUGCCGACACAGUCUAGGUUACUUCGGCUAUCUAAUGUUUUAUGUGUCCCAGCCAUUCGGAAAAAUUUGUUGUCAGCAUCACAAUUUGUAACUGAUAAUGGGGUGUUUUUUUAGUUUCACUCUACUUAUUGUAUGAUUAAGGAUAGCGUGACACAGGAGGUUUUGCUGACGGGGCAUAUUUAUAAUGGGCUAUACCGAUUUUCUAUGCCAGAUGGUGUUUCUUAUAUGUCUGCUGCUCAGGUAAAAUGUUCAGAUUCGACUGCCAACAAUGAGUUGUUUUCGUUAUGGCACAAGCGCCUUGGACAUCUGUCAUCAACUGUUGUUAAAAAUGUUUUACAUAAGUGUCAUGUUCAUGUUCAUAUGAAUAAAAUUGCUAAUAGCGAUGUUUGUACUACUUGUAAAAAGGGUAAGUUUCAUAAGUUGCCAUUUUCGGCUUCCAAUACUGAAUAUAUCGAUCCCUUUUCGUUAGUUGUGUCUGAUGUAUGGGGACCUGCUUCGGUUGCUUCUAGUAACAAGUGGUACUAUGUGUCAUUCGUCGACAUAAGUUCUCGAUUUACUUGCGUAUAUCUAAUUCGGUAGAAGCCUCAAGUUAUGACCUACUUCAUUCAGUUUCAGAAACUUAUUCACACUCAGUUUGGCAAGACCAUCAAGCAGUUCUAGAGCGAAUGGGGUGGUGAGUAUCGAGCUUUGGCUUCAGUUUUGGCAUCCCAAGGCAUUGUUCAUCGUGUUUCUUGUCCGCAUACUUCUGAGCAAAAUGGCGUUGCCAAGCGUAAACAUCGCCACAUUGUGGAAAUGGGGCUUACACUUUUAGCUCAAGCGGGACUUUUGAUGGAGUUCUGGGCAUAUGCGUUUACAUGCACAGUUCAUUUAAUAAAUUGUCUUCCACACCAGUGCUGGAGGGUAAGACACCGUAUAGUGUGCUUUAUGGACGAGACCCUACUUAUGAUCACCUGCGUAUUUUUGGAUAUCGUUGUUAUCUGUUUUUGCGCUAGUUUUAGUGUCAUAAAUUAACCUUUCGGUCUCAACCGUGUACGUUCUUGGGCUACAGCCCCUGUCACAAAGGGUAUCAAUGUCUAUUGCCGGAUGGUCGCUUUAUUGUCUCUCGACAUGUAGAGUUUGAUAAAUCUCAUUUCCCCUCUCCGAUGAAUAUAUCUCGAUCACGGGAGGUGAGUACUAUACCUACGUACUUUCCUGUACUUGAGACUAAUCCGUUAUUAUAGAGGAAUGGUGUUACUGGUCCUGUUUGUUCACCUAGUGUACCUGGGUCUCUAAGUCCUCAGAAUGGAGUGGAUGUUAAUCCAACAAAUACUAACUGCCAUAAUACUCCCUCGGUGAAUGAGUUUUUGACUGAAGGUGAUAAUGCUUAUCAUGAUUUCUUGAACUCUGAAACUCAAUCUCCCACGCCUAUUGUUCAAAUUUCGUCUGACCCUACAGGACCAGAGGUUUCUGUGCCUAAUGUGAAUAUUCAUCCUAUGACUACUCGUUCCAAGGCUGGUAUUUUUAAACCUAAGGUUCUUGCUAUUGAGGUUGUAGAACCAUCAACGAUUGAAGAAGCUGUUGCUAGCCCUGAGUGACAAACCGCUGCUCAAGCUGAGUAUGAUGCUUUAAUUCGUAACGGUACCUGGAAAUUUGUUUCUAUGCCAUCAGGUCACAAAGUUAUUGGUUGCAAAUGGUUGUUUAAAGUGAAGAAAAACCCAGAUGGAACGGUUGAACGAUACAAGGCACGUCUGGUUGUGAAAGGCUGUUCUCAAGUUUCGGGGUGUGAUUUUCAAGAAACAUUUAGUCCAGUUGUCAAACCUGCCACUAUAAGGGUUAUCUUGUCAAUCGCGGUUGCUAAAGGAUGGUCACUUCGACAAGUUGAUGUUAACAAUGCCUUCUUAAAUGGUGAUGUUGAUAGUGAGGUGUUUAUGCAGCAACCCCCGAGAUAUGUUAAGCAUGGUUCUGACGGACGACCUUUGGUUUGUCGUUUAAAGAAGGCGUUAUAUGGUUUGCGUCAGGCUCCACGAGCUUGGUUUGAGAAGUUGAGAACUUUCCUUCAGACAGUUGGGUUUGUUGGCUCUAAGUCAGAUGCUUCUCUAUUUGUUCGAGUUCGCUCGGACUCCACUCUCUAUGUGCUUGUUUAUGUUGAUGACAUUAUCAUUACUGGUAAUUUGGCAUCGUCUAUUGACUGGUUUGUACAGUUAUUGAAUGAUGAAUUCUCGUUAAAAGACAUGGGUGAUUUACACUAUUUCUUGAGAGUGGAGGUUACCAGGUCAUCUUGUGGGAGUCUUCAUCUUUGUCAACGGAAGUACAUCCAGGAUAUGUUGAAGCGUAGUGGUUUGACAAGUGCUAAAGGUGUUCAUACACCCAUGAUUAGCUUGUCGCAUGUUUCUAAGAAUGAUGGUGAGUCUUUAUCUAAUCCAACUGAGUAUAGGAGUCUGGCGGGUGCUUUACAGUAUAUGGUUAUCACUAGGCCUGAUAUUGCUUAUGCGGUUAAUCGGGUGUGUCAGUUUAUGCAUAGUCCAACCACAGUUCAUAUGGCUGCCCUUAAAAGGAUAUUAUGAUAUUUAUCUGAUACAAACUGGGGGUUGGAUGUUGAUGAUCGGCGGUCUACUUCAGGAUACUGUGUAUUUUUUGGGUCUAACCCUGUUUCAUGUUCGUCGAAGAAACAACAGGUGGUAUCGCGAUCUACGGCUGAGGCUGAAUAUAGAAGUCUUGCUGCUGUUACAAGUGAUGUUAUGUAGUUAAUUUCGUUGUUAUGAGAGUUGCAUAUUGGGUCUGCUUCUCCACCAAAUAUCUGGUGUGAUAGCUCUAGUGCAGUUGCAGUUGCUGCUAAUCCUUUGUUACACUCCAAGUUUAAGCAUGUGGAGUUAGAUUUAUUUUUAUUCGUGAAAAGGUUGCUGAUGGUUCGGCUCUAGUUGGGGAAGUUCCUGCGUCUGAUCAAGUUGCUGACGUUUUAACUAAACCAUUGUCAGUUUCGUGUUUCACUCGGUUUAGAAAUUUUCUUCGGGUCUUACCAAUAGAGAAGAUGGAUGCAUGUUAAAGAUAAUAAAACGGUUAGAGAGGUAGUUAGUGAAGGUUGAAAGGUUAGUUAGUUUGUUAAAGAAAGCUAGUGAUUUGUGUUUAUAAAUACAAACGUAUGACUUUGUAUUGAGGCAAGUAAACAAUCUAAAUUCAUGAGUAAACAUUUGUUUCAAUAAAAAUUUUCUCAAAGUUACCUGGUUUUCUUCACGGCACAUCAAUCAAAAUAAACUCAAAAGGUAGCUCAGUGAACUCAAUAAUGUACUUGGUUACAUCAAUCAUUGCAUUGAUGAGCUUGUUAAGUGCAUCAAGGUGGGGUUUCAAUGUUAGGGAAUGCUCUAAAAGGUCUGGUAAUUGCUUGAGGAGAGCCACGGAUUUGGCCAAUGAGUUGGAAGUGCAAAGCUGAAUGAUUAGCCAAAAUUCAGCAAAAUUCGCUGUGAAAGCAGCUAAUGUUAGCACCACUUUUGCAUCCCAUGAAUAGCUUGAAAGCAUGUUGAGAAUCCCCAUUGUUGUUGCAUGAGCAUCCCCUCCGCCUGAACACUUGCAUGAUACCUACAAAACAUCAAAUGUUACUAUCGUCAUUUUUCAGUUUCGAAAAAGAUUCAGAUUCUGAAAGAAAAGAGAACAGCCGAAUAACCUCGCAGCAAAUUUUGUGUAUGAUAUAAGCCAAUGCAUCAAGUGCACCAUCAACGGCAGACGAGUUGGUCCGAUCAUCAAGAGCAUCGAUGUGUCCCAUUCCACCCUACCAGACAAUAAUAAUAAUAAUAAUAAUAAUAAUAAACCAAUUUACAUAAUUGUCUUCACCCACAUAUAGUGGGUGUGGCAUAAUAUUGUAUUUAUUAAAAGUUCAUACAAAAAUCAAAUGGUGCUUUGGUUUAAAUAGUAAAGAUUAAAUGUUUAAAAUUUAUUGUGUCAUGAUUUCAAAUCUUAUUAUGUUUAAGUUUUUAUUAUUUAUAAAAGAUAAAAAGAUAAAAACACUCUCAUAAUAAUAUAACUUGCUCAGUACAUAAAAAAAUAUUUUGGUAAUUUUACAACUGAGUUGUUGCUCAGUUGACUUGUAAUACCAACUCAAUUAAGAGCCUAAUAUAAGUAUAGAUAAUAAUUCAAUUUUUUUCAUUCACAUUUUAAUGUUAUUAUUCAACCUAUUUUGCAUAAUUUAUUAUAAUAAACUAAUUUAGAGAAAACUAUACUAUAUUAUUUUUGCUUUAUUUUUUAUGUUAGAAGCGAUAACCUAAUAAUUCAUUUUAGUUAUACAUGAGAUGUUGGAAAAAAAUAGAUUUCUUGGAAGCUUUGAGUCAUAUUCUCGAUUAGUAAAGGUGGAUAUUUGAAUCAUAAAAUUAUGGUUUUAUAUUCCACUCCAUGAGACCUUUACAAUGGUAUAUCAUAUGCUUAAAAUGAUUGAGUGAUGAAUGAGAAAUUGAUGCUCAAAGUAAGCCACUUGUGAAUUAUGUUGAGAAAAUUGGAAAGCUUAGUCUCACAUUAGUUAGAUAUCAAGUGUGAAUUUGUUUCUAUAUGUGAACCAACUUAGUGGUUAUUGAAUAAUUAAACUAAUGCUCUCCCUCGCGCGCAUUUAUAUUAUUAUGAAAAUAUCAUAUUCAAUCUUAAAUUCAAUUAGUAUUUAUAAUUCUCUUUAUAUAUUUUUUGAAAAUAAAUUUGUGUUUUUUAAAAUGAAUGUAUGUAUUAUUUUUAUACAAGGAGUCGCAUUAUGGAUGAAACCUUUCAAUUUUUUUUUGUGUAAUCAUAUGUGUUUUCAUUCGUUUAUUGUUUGAGAUUAAUUAUGUUGGGGUCUAAAUUGGAUUCAAAUAUAUUUAUGUAUUAUUUUUAUAAAAAAUGUCACAUUAUUAAACUUUUAAAAGUUGCGAUAUGGUCACUAACAUUAUCAAUUUAUUAUAUUUUAUCACUAAACCAUUAAUUGACGUUAACGGUGUAACAACAAGUUGACCUGACUGUUAAGAAAUUGAUUGAAAAGAUAAGAGAAAAUAAAAUGCUUCAAGUCUGUCAUUCUUGCUACUACAGCUUGAUAGUAAUAUAAUGGGUAGGUAGUAACUAACUAGCAUACUUAUUACUUAAUUACAAGGAACUUAUCUCUAAAUACUAGGAGUUGUUAUAACAACUUAUUUACCAACUUCAACACUCCCCCUCAAGUUGGAGGGUGAUAUAUGUCUAUCACUCCCAACUUGGAUAUUAAGUGUCGAUGUUGUUGUACUGCUUGUCCUUUAGUAAGAAUGUCUGCAAGUUGUUCCUUUGUUGAAAUGUGUUCAGUUUUCACUAAACCUUUCUAGAUACUUUCUCUUAUAAAGUGGCAAUUGAUUUCAAUAUGCUUGGCUCUUUCAUGGUAAAUAGGGUUUGCUGCAAUUUGAAUUGCAGCUUGACUGUCAAAAUAAAGCACAGCUAGCUUACUUUCUUUGAUCCGUAAUUCGUAAUCAUUUUAACCAUUUCAACUCUACAACAGUAGAUGCCAUGCUCCUAUAUUCGACUUUUGCUGAAGAUCUUGAGACAAUGCUUUGUUUUUUUUUUUUUAUUUCUAAGAGAUUAAGGAACUUUCUAGUUUUAUACAGUACCCCGUUAUUGAUUUCCUAGACAUAAGGCAAGAUGCCCAGUCUGAAUCACAAUAUGCAAUUAACAUUGGAUCUCCAUCAGAAGCAACCAGAAUUCCUUGUCCUAGAUUGCUUUUAAUGUAUCUCACAAUCCUCAAUGCAGCUGCAUAAUGAGACUUCUUAGGCUUAUGCAUGAACUGACUCAAGUGUUGCACACCAUAAGCAAUAUCUGGUCUAGUGUUUGUCAAAUAUAACAAUCUCCCAAUUAGUCUUUGAUAAAUUGUUACAUCUGCUAAAACUUCAUCAUCAUUUUUCAGCUACAAUGUUUCAUCAAAGUCUACUAUUGUAAGCUUUUGAUUCUGCUCUAAUAGAGUGACUGCUGAUUUCACUUCUUUUAAACCGACAUUUUUAAUUAAUUCGAGAGCAUAUUUUCUCUGAUUUAACACAACGCCUGCAUCCGACCUUGAUAUUUCGAUCCCAAGAAAAUAUUUUAGACUCCCAAGGUCCUUCAUCUUGAAAUUAUUGUACAAUAUACCUUUUAAUUCACUGACCAAUUUACUGUCAUUUCCUUUAAUCAAUAGAUCAUCAACAUAUAUAAACAUGAUGACUUUUUUGGAUUCUACACUUUUUGUGAACAUGGAGUAGUCAUGUUUACUCCGAAUGUAUCCAUGUGAAACCAAAGUUUCAGUCGACUUCAAAUUCCAUUGUCGUGAAGCCUGUUUCAGGCCAUAAAGAUAUUUAAGCAACCUGCAGACCCUAUUCUCCCCCUGGUUACGAAAUCCCUCUAGAAGAGUUAUGAACACUUCCUCUCGUAAAUCACCUUGUAAAAAGGCAUUGAAGACAUCUAACUGAUAAAGUGGCCAGUAAAAAAGGGCUGCAAGAGUAAUAACAGUAUAGAUGGUGACUUGUUUUGCUACUAAAGAGAACGUGUCUUGAAAGUCAAUACCUUCCUAUUGAUUGUAGCCCUUGGCGACAACCCGAGCUUUUAACCUUUCAAUUGUGCCAUUAGAGUGAUAUUUGACCUUUUACACCCAUUUACAACCAAUGGAAGUUUUCUCGAGAGGUAAAGAGACUACUUCCCAAGUGCCAUUGGAUUCCAAAGCUUGUAUUUCCUAUUGCAUAGCCUCUAUCCAACACUUAUGUUUACCAACCUCAGAAUGGGAUUUUGGUUUUACAAGGUGUGAUAUGGUGGCAGUGAAGUGUUGUGUAUGGAAAGGUAAAUGAGCAUAAGAAAGAGUAAGAGAAUACGAACCUUGUAUUGCAAGUGAAGAGGAUGAAAAGGAUGGAGGAGAACAUACAAAGUCUUAAAGCCAAGAUGGUCGUGUAGUGGUUCUUGUGGAUCAUCAAAAAGGAGGAGAUGGACGUAAAGGUGGAAAUGAGGAAGGAUCCAAAAUGAAAGAGGAAAAAAAGAUCAGAAGAGGUAAUGGGAGAAGGUAUGGGGGGUUGAAAAGGAAAUAUAAGUCUUCUAUGGGGACCAAAAGUAGUAAUGUAAAACAUUGGAGUAGCAGAACAUGAAAUUUUGAAAGGAAAAAUAGUCUCAUGAAAGGUGACAUUUCGAUUAACAAAAAAUUUCUUCAAAAUAAUAUCAAAGAGAAUGUACCCCUUUUGAACUACAGAAUCAAAAAAAAUGAAAGGAAUGGCUUUAGGAGAAAGCUUAUCAUGAUAAUGUGGUACGGUGGUAUAACAUAAGUACCAAAAACUUUAAGAUGAUCAAGAGAUAGAGGAGUUUUGUAGAGUUUUUCAUAAGAAGAUUUCCAAGACAAAACAGAGGUAGGUAAACGAUUGAUAAUGUAACAAGCUGUUAGCACACAUUCUCCCCAAAAUUUAGAAGGCAAAUGAGAGUGAAAUUUUAAGGCUCUGGCAAGUUUAAGGAGAUGGCGAUGUUUGCGUUCAACAACCUCAUUUUGUUGUGGAGUAUUAACGUAUGAGCUUUGAUGGACAAUACCAAAAGAGGUGAAAAGAGGUGUACAUGUAGAGUUAAAAAAUUCAGAAACAUUAUGAUAUAGGGAUGCGCGCGAACCAAGAUCGAGUUGUCAAGUCACGAGAAACUCCUAUGAAAACCCUAAAUAAUCAGAUCUGAAACAAAAUAGAAAAUUAAAAGAUUAGAACUUUGAAUUUCCAGAUCUGAAAUAAAAUCUCCAAAUCAGCAAAGAAUCAAAUGAGAAAAGAAAUAAGUGUUAAUAAGGGUUCUUGAAACCCUAAAGGAAAUUGCGAUUCUACCCAAUUGAACACCAAGAUAGUUUUCCCCAAAUUUCGGCAAUUUAAUUUCACCCAAAAAGAGUAUGGAUGUAUCGGCAAGAACCCUAGAAAUUGGGGAUUUUUGGCUGAUUCUUUAAGAUAGAAAAAAGGGCUGGAAACACAAUAAUAACAGCAAAUAAAUUAGAUAAAGAUUUAGCACAAGCAGAAAUAAAGAAAGAAUUGACAGCAAGAAAUUAAAAGAUAAGUCCUAAGAAGCCUUGAAAUCCCUAAAGAUCUCACAACUCCCUUCAAACGGCUUUAAUCUUCCCUCCAAUGAAUAUCAAUGGCAAGAAGAAGGUUGAAGACGGCUCCCACAAUCAAAAGAUUGUUAAAACAGCUUCUAAAGAAAACUCAAGAUAAAUUCUUGGAGAAAACCCCAAAGAAAAUUAUGCUCUCAAUAAAUCUGAAAAUUUUUAAUAUCAUAUAAGAAGUUAAUAACAAGGUGACUGGCCAAGCCUUUAUAUAGGCCUUAUAACUAGUCCUAAUCUAAUUAGAAAACUAAAAUAAAAAAACUCCUAAUUGUUUUAAUAUGGAAAUUCAGCCAAGGGUCUUUAUUUGGGACUUUUUGACUGAAUAUUUACAUAAAAAUUUAAACUAAAAUAAAUAAAUAAAUAAAUAAAAUAAAACUUUACAACUUGGGCCACUUUGACAAUUUGGCCUGAUUUUCAACUAAGUAUGGGUGGAUUUCUUGAUUGGGCUUGGAAUCUUCUUAUUGGGCCUUGCCUUCAAGAAUUUGGGCUUGUGAUCCAUCUCCUAUCGAAAUUGAAUCGUUGAUGCUCGUAACGGAGAUCCAAUGCGCUUUGGCUGCAAGAUUUGAUUUCUUGAACCAAGAUUCCCAAGAUUUGAAAUCUUGAUUUUCCCGUUCUUUCGUGUACGCAUCUAAGGCCUUGCUAACAAACUCCUGAAUGGUCUCAUUUAGUUUGGAGCGCAUUUGUCGGGCCUUUGAUCUCGUAUCAUUCCCCCCUUCCUCAAAAAGAUUCGACUUCGAAUCUGAAAAAUCAAAUGGGGACAAGUCGGCCACAUUAAAAGUAGAACUUACAUUGUACUCACCAAGUAGAUCAAUUUUAUAGGCAUUAUCGUUGAUCCUCUCGAGUACUUGGAAAGGCCCAUCGCCCCUUGGGUCCAACUUGGUCUUUCUUUUUGCAGGAAAUCGUUCUUUCCUCAUACGGACCCAAACCCAAUCUCCGGGUUCUAGGACAACCUGCUUGCGCCCCUUGUUUGCUUUGUUGGUGUUGGCAUCAUUUGUUUUGGCUAUUCGUUGCCUAGCCUUCUCAUGUAAGGAUUUCACCAACUCAGCUUUCUGUUCGCCAUCUAAAUUAACAAUGUGUUCAAGUGGUAAUGGCGCAAGAUCAAGUACUGUUAGUGGGUUAAAACCAUAAACAAGUUCAAAUGGAGAAUAACCAGUUGUAGAAUGAAUAGAUCUAUUAUAUGCAAAUUCAACAAACGGUAGGCAUUCUUCCCAAUUUCUAAUGUUCUUUCCCACAACAGAUCGUAAUAAAGUCCCUAAGAUCCGAUUAACUACUUCGGUUUGCCCAUCAGUUUGGGGGUGACAUGUAGUGGAAUAAAGUAAUUUAGUACCAAGCUUACCCCACAAUACCUUCCAAAAGUGGCUAAGGAAUUUGACAUCUCUAUCAGAAACAAUUGUUUUAGGGAUGCCAUGAAGUCUUACCACCUCUUUAAAGAAUAAGUCUGCCACAUGUGUAGGUAGCAUCAUCUGUUUUGUGACAAGAAAUAAAAUGUGCCAUCUUUGAAAACCUGUCAACAACAACAAAUAUACUAUCUCUUCCUUUCUUAUUUCGAGGCAAACCUAGAAUAAAAUCCAUGGAUAAAUCUACCCAAGGUGACGUAGGAAUCGGUAAAUGAGUGUAAAGGCCAUGAGGCAUUACCUUAGAUUUUGCUUGUUUGCAUGUAAUGCACUUGGAACAUACCUUUUCGACAUCCUUUUUCAUAUGUGGCCAAUGAAAGUAUUCUUGCAAGAUGUCUAGUGUUUUGGCCACUCCAAAAUGUCCCAUCAAACCCCCACUAUGGGCCUCAUGAAUCAAUAAGUCUCUCAUGGAACACUUUGGUAUGCAUAACCUAUUUAUACGAAAAAGAAAGCCAUCUACAAGAUAAAAUUUAUCGAAAGUAGUAUGUCCACAAUUCUUAUAGAUAUGGCCGAAAUCAGCAUCAUCAUCAUAUAGUUCCUUAAUAUGUUCGAACCCUAAGACUUUAGCAUUCAACGUAGUUAUUAAAGUAUAUCGUCUAGACAAAGCAUCUGCACCUACAUUAUCUUUACCUGUUUUAUAUUGUAUCACAUAAGGGAAUGUUUCAAUGAAUUCAACCCAUCGAGCAUGUCUUUUACUCAACUUACCUUGUCCCUUUAACCAUUUAAGAGAUUCGUGAUUUGUGUGUAUGACAAACUCAUUAGGCAGCAAAUAAUGUUGCCAUACUUGAAGUGCACGAACCAAUGCUAAUAGUUCUUUGUCAUAAGUCGAGUAGUUUAACUGUGCACCAUUCAAUUUGUCACUAAAAUAAGCAAUAGGUUGCUUAUCUUGCAUUAAAACGGCGCCAAUUCCAAUUCCUGAAGCAUCACACUCAAGUUCAAAAGUUUUAGCAAAAUCAGGUAAUUUAAGCAAAGGAGCAGAACAUAACUUAGCUUUUAGAGUUUGAAAGGCCUUUUCUUGGGUUUCACCCCAUUUGAAACCCACUGAUUUCUUUAUAACCUCUGUCAAUGGGGCAGCAAUAGUAGAGAAAUCUUUCACAAAUCGUCUAUAAAAACUAGCUAAACCAUGGAAAGAUCUCACCUCAGUUACCGAUUUAGGAGUCGGCCACUCCUUAAUUGCCUUGACUUUGUCCUCGUCGACAUGAAUACCUUGAGCACUAACUAUGAAACCUAAGAAUAUUAGUUUAUCACAACAGAAUGUGCAUUUAUCAAGGUUGGCAAAUAAUUUUUCAAUUCGCAGAAUAUCCAAAACGGUCCUAACAUGGAAAACAUGAUCAUCUAAUGACUUGGAGUAAAUUAAAAUAUCAUCAAAGUAAACUACUACAAAUUUACCCAAGUGAAGCCUUAAAACAUGAUUCAUUAAUCUCAUAAAUGUACUAGGUGCAUUAGUAAGGCCGAAAGGCAUAACUAACCAUUCAUACAAUCCAAAUUUUGUUUUAAAAGCUGUUUUCCAUUCAUCCCCUUCCGUCAUUCGAAUUUGAUGAUAACCGCUUUUUAAAUCAAUUUUUGUAAAUAUUAUUGAACCAUGUAAUUCAUCAACCAUAUCAUCUAGUCUAGGGAUUGGGUGUCGAUACUUUACCGUUAUCUUGUUGAUUGGGCGACAAUCAACGCACAUACGAAAUGUACCAUCUUUCUUUGGCACUAAUAAGACAGGAACAGCACAAGGACUUAGGCUCUCACGAAUGUACCCUUUGUCUAGUAAUUCCUCAACUUGCCUUUGCAAUUCCUUUGUCUCCUCAGGAUUGCAUCUAUAGGCUGGUCGAUUUGGGAUUGAAGCUCCGGGUACUAAGUCAAUUUGAUGUUCUAUCCCUCGUAAAGGUGGUAAACCUUUAGGGGCCUCACUAAAAACAUCCUCAUAAUCCUGCAAAAGAGAUUGAAACACACUAGGCAAAUUUUCGUUAAUGUUAGAUAAAGAUAAAUAAUUUUGCCUAAACCUCACAAGGAUACAAGGCUGUUUAUUAAGUAGGGCUCUCUUCACAUCUUUUUUUGUUGCCAAAAGAUUUUUUCCGCUCAUUUUACCACUAGAGGAUUCACUCACCUUUGGGCUUUUUAAAUUUUGACUUUUCCCACUACUAUUAGCCUCUUUUCUCUCUGUCUUUUGUACUUGCUCUUUCUCCCUUACCCCCUCACAAAAUUUUAUCAUCCUCAAUUGAUCUUUAUAUACAUCGGUAGGAUUUAAAGGAGCAAAAGUGAAUUUCUUACCUUUAAAUACAAGGGAGUAUCGAUUAAGUUUACCUUGGUGUGUAACAUCGCGAUCAAAUUGCCAAGGUCGUCCAAGGAGCAAAUGUGCCGCAUGCAUUGGGACUACAUCACACCAUACUUCAUCCUCAUAAUUGCCGAGUUUAAAAGUGACCAAGGACUGUUUCGUAACUUUAACUUCGGAACAUUCAUUAAGCCACUGAAGGUGAUAUGGCUUAGGGUGUUUGGUGCAAGGUAACUUUAAGGAAUCCACCAAAUAGCUGCUAACUACAUUCGAACAACUCCCACUAUCAAUAAUAAGUGAACAUAAGUUACCUUUUAUAAAACACCUAGAAUGGAAAAUAUUGGUCCUUCGGUUAUCACAAUCGUCUCCCAUUUGGAUGUUAAGGGUGCGGCAGACUACCAUCUUAUUGUUUUUUCUCUUUUUUGAAAUACCUGUAAAACAAAUACUCAACACUCAAAAGAAAAAUUAGCAAACCUCACCGUUAGUCACUCAAAAAGAAAAAUCAAAUUCUCAAUGAGGUAGAAUUCAGUCUUGUGAGUUCUUUAGUAGAGUUUAUAUCAACCAAUUAGAGAGUGUAUGAACCAAACUACCAAAGAAUCCUAAUUUGCACUAAGAUGCCAAAAAACUAACGAGACACCAAUUGAUUCGUGUUGCACCGAGGAAGAAUUGUGCACACGUUUAAAUCCUACUAACACAAGAAACAAGAAGGUGUUAUAUAUUGUAAAGGGAGAAUAAAAGGCAAACAAAUGAAAACCUACAGCUAAGAAUUAAUAAAAAUUGCUGAAACUAGAAAACCCGAAAAAAACUACGGAGUAACUUGACAACUUCGUUCGAGGUGUUCCCAAUCUCCAAAAAUCACGAAAUUAAAUCUGGAAUGUCCUUAUAUAUUGAAUUUUUGAUCUGGAAGGUUUGGGCACCAAAUUCAACCCGCUGAAUCUUUUUUUUAAUUUUUUAUUGGAUUUCAUAUUUUUUCAAUUUUUUGACUUUUUCAACUGAUUUUUUUGCGGGAAAUAUUUUUUUAUAUUCAAUAACAGUGCCACAAAUAUGUAUGUAAAAUUUUAGAUCAAUCAAAAAACGUUUACCCACUCAAAUGAAUUUUUUUUUGAAAAUUUUUCUGGGUAAAAUUGCUGUUUGUGCUUUAAAAAAUUGAGAUCAGUUUAGAAAUCAUCCAAGAACACCCAAAACGCCCAAAAUCUGAUACCAAAUGAUAUAGGGAUGCGCACGGACCAAGAUCGAGUUGUCAAGUCACGAGAAACUCCUAUGAAAACCCUAAAUAAUCAAAUCUGAAACAAAACAGAAAAUUAAAAUAUUAGAACUUUGAAUUUCCAGAUCUGAAAUAAAAUCCCCAAAUCAGCAAAGAAUCAAAUGAGAAAAGAAAUAAGUGUUAAUAAGGGUUCUUGAAACCCUAAAGGAGAUUGCGAUUCUGCCCAAUUGAACACCAAGAUAGUUUUCCCCAAAUUUCGGCAAUUUAAUUUCACCCAAAAAGAGAAUGGAUGUAUCGGCAAGAACCCUAGAAAUUGGGGAUUUUUGGCUGAUUCUUUAAGAUAGAAAAAAGGGCUGGAAACACAAUAAGAACAGCAAAUAAAUUAGAUAAAGAUUCGGCACAAGCAGAAAUAAAGAAAGAAUUGACAGCAAGAAAUUAAAAGAUAAGUCCUAAGAAGCCUUGAAAUCCCUAAAGAUCUCACAACUCCCUUCAAACGGCUUUAAUCUUCCCUCCAAUGAAUAUCAAUGGCAAAAAAAUGGUUGAAGACGGCUCCCACAAUCAAAAGAUUGUUAAAACAGCUUCUAAAGAAAACUCAAGAUAGAAUUCUUGGAGAAAAACCCCAAAGAAAAUUCUGCUCUCAAUAAAUCUGGAAAUUUUUAAUAUCAUAUAAGAAGUUAAUAACAAGGUGACUGGCCAAGCCUUUAUAUAGGCCUUAUAACUAGUCCUAAUCUAAUUAGAAAACUAAAAUAAAAAAAACUCCUAAUUGUUUUAAUAUGGAAAUUCAGCCAAGGGUCUUUAUUUGGGACUCUUUGACUGAAUAUUUACAUAAAAAUUUAAACUAAAAUAAAUAAAUAAAUAAAUAAAAUAAAACUUUACAACUUGGGCCACUUUGACAAUUUGGCCUGAUUUUCAACUAAGUAUGGGUGGAUUUCUUGAUUGGGCUUGGAAUCUUCUUAUUGGGCCUUGCCUUCAAGAAUUUGGGCUUGUGAUCCAUCUCCUAUCGAAAUUGAAUCGUUGAUGCUCGUAACGGAGAUCCAAUGCGCUUUGACUGCAAGAUUUGAUUUCUUGAACCAAGAUUCCCAAGAUUUGAAAUCUUGAUUUUCCCGUUCUUUCGUGUACGCAUCUAAGGCCUUGCUAACAAACUCCUGAAUGGUCCCAUUUAGUUUGGAGCGCAUUUGUCGGGCCUUUGAUCUCGUAUCACAUUAUCACUCCGAAUGACCUUAAUAUCAGCUAAAAAUUAUGUUUUUGCAAAGGCAACAAAUUGCUUAAGAGUGAUAGAAGCAUCACUCUUGGUUCGUAAAAGGUAUACCCAAGUCAUUCGAGUGAAAUCAUCAACUAUAGUGAGGAAAAACAAUAACCAGUAUGAGUUGAGAUUCUAUAAGGUCCCCAUAGGUCAAUAUAAAUUAAAGCAAAAGUAUUAGUGGUUUGAGUGUGACUACGAGGAAAGGGGAAUUUAGUUUGUUUAGCUAGUGGACAAACAAAAUAAAAAGAUAAUUCAUUAAGAUCAUGUAAAACAGAUUUUAAUUGAACAUUUUUUUUCAUUAUGGAAACAGAGGUGUGACCAAGGCGAGCAUGCCAUACAUGUGGAUCAUUAUGUAAAGCCAUAAAAGAAGUAAAAAUGGGCAAAGAAAUAUUGGUAGAUUUGUGAGGAUGAACAAGACUGGAAGAGAACUUAUAUGGGUGAAAGUAAUAGAGACCAGCAUGUUCUUUACCAAUCCCCAACAUCCGUCCACUGCAAAAGUCCUGUAAAAGAAAAAGGAAGGGUAAAAAGAGACAAACAAUUGAGGCCUUUAGUAAGUUGAGAAACAGAAAGUAAAUUAUAAUUAAAAUCAGGUAUGUCUAAAACAUUAGUUACUUAUAAGUGGGGGAAAGGAUAUGAUGGCCAAUAUGAGUAACAGAGGCUGGUUUCCCAUUAGGUAAUUGAACACAAGAGCUGUUAGGAGCAAGAGCAACAGAAGAAUUCAAGCAUUGAAAAUCAAAUGUCAUAUGGUUGGUGGAUCCUAUGUCAAGGAUCCAGCCAGACGAUGUAAAGGAAGAGAGUGUACCAGCCAUGUAAACAGUUGUAGAAAUAGAUGAAUCCUUCUACAAAAUAGUCAGAAGUUAUUGUACUGUUGCGAUGUUAAAGUAGGAGUAGAUGGAGCUUGAAUAGAGAAUGGAAUCACAGGUUUCAACUGAAUCAAUCGAAGAGGUAACAUUAGUAGCAACUGAUUUCUUGCGAGUGCACUUAAAAUCAGGAGGGAAAUAAAUCAUUUUAUAACAGUUUUCAUGUUUAUGGCCCCAGACAUGACAGUGAUCACAAGUGCCAUUAAAUCUGCGCUUGAAGCUACCAGUGGUAGUAGUCGAUGAGUAAAGGGCAGUAGGCUCAGAUGCAGAAAGCAGUGGAAAGGAGAUUUGAUGUUGAGAUUCUUCCUGAACAAGCAUGGAUUAGGUUUGAUUGACUGAGGGCAGCAGUUGCAUAAGUAAUAUUUGACUACGCACAGCAGAAUAGGAAUCAUUGAGGCCCAUUAAAAAUUGAAAGAGUCGUUGUUGAAGAAAAGAGGCAGAUGUGGUUCAAGCAUUUUCACGAUCACAUGGAAAGUAAGGCACUAAAACAUCAUACUCAUCCCAUAAAGGGCAGAGCUGUGUGAAAUACGUGAAGAUGGAAGAAGUACGUUGAGUGUGAGAAAAAAUAGUGUGAUGGAGAUAAUAAAUUCUGGACCCAUCAACUUUGCUGUAGCAUUCUUGAAGAUCCUUCCAAAUAAGGCAGGCACUCGAAGCGAACAAUACCAACUGAAAGUUCUUGGAAAACGGUGUUGAGGAUCCAAGAGAGGACAAUAACAUUGCCACGGUUCCAUUGAAGAUGAAGAUCAACUGGAAGAUCAACCCGUGAGCAAGUGCCAUCAACAAAUCCAAGUUUGUUUUUGGCAAGAAGAGUAAUUUUCAUUGAUCGACUCCAUAUAUUAUAAUUCUCAAAGCCAAGAAGCUGAUGAGAAACCAGUAGAGUGCUAGGAGUAUCAGAGGGGCGAAGAUAAAGAUGGUGAUGAAAGUCAAUGACAGGAGAAGAAGAUUAUGAAAAAAAAAAGGAAACCAAGAAAAAAUUAAACCUGGCUCUAAUACCAUGUUAAGAUAUCGAUUGAAAAGAUAAGAGAAAAUAAAAUGCUUCAAGUUUGUCAUUCUUGCUGCUACAGCUUGAUUGUAAUAUGGUCUUCAUGUGGUUUGAUAUGACCCUCAUGAUGAGUUUUCAAUGAUGGAUAAUAUAUGGCUAUUUGUAUAUCAUAAUUUUAAUAUUAUACAUUCACAUAUUUUUAUAUGACCGUAAUUUAAAUCAUAUAUAAGUGACUAAAUAUGUAGUUUACCUAUAAUUAAUUUAACUUUGCUUAUUUUUCUAAAAAAAAUAUUAAUUUUAUUUAAUAGAUAAGAUUUAUUUCUAUUUCUUUUACUGCUAUAUUAUAAUUAUAUUUUUUGCAUGAAAAAAAAUAGUUUUCUUAAUGAAAAUAAUCUUUUACAAUUUUACUGAACCAUGGAAUUUCUAUCUUUGAUUAUUAGAAUGCUUUAAAUAUCUAUUUGUCAUACUUCAAGAGUUCUUUUCACUUAGGUUCUUUUAAUAAUUUAACAUUAAAUUCAUAUAUCUAAUAUAUUAUAUAUAAAAAAUUGUUUUAUAUUAAACUUAUACUGUUUGAACUGAAGAAUAAAGAAUAUUAAUUUAUAAUAUAUUUAUUUUUAAAACUUUCUAUAAGUACUUGAUUAGAAUUUUUUAUCAUGAUAAUAUUUGAAUUAUAGAAUUAAUUUGUAUAAGUUAAUUAUGUUUAUUAUUUUGGGUUAAUUAUAUGAAAUUGCUGACAUAUUUGAAGGUAAGGAAAAUUUUUGUGGCUAAAAUAGUGGGCACAACUUGAGGCACUGUUUCAUUAAAUUACUUAUCUAUUUACAGAGCUGAACUACCUAUUUUGAAAAUAAUUGGACAAGUUAGAGUCCAAAACAUGAAGGCCAAUUGAAGACUUGAAGAUUGAUUUUUGCGGAUCAAGUAAACUCACUUUCUAUAUUUUAAGACAUUUGAUUACAUCAAGACUCUUAUAAAAUUAUUAUUCUAUAUUGAUUUGUAGCUUUAUUUUAUAGAAAAGAGAUUAAACUAUGACUCUUAUGUAAGCUAAGCUUAAGUGAUAUAUAAACUUAAGUUUUGUCUAGGUUAAGUGGACCAAGAAAUACUAAGAGAUAGAAAGAGCACAAAUUUAUUCAAGUUAGGAAUGCUUUAUGUGUGCAUUGUUUUUGUAAGAGUCUCUUGAGUUGUAAAACUAAGUUUUCGAGGGGGAAGUUUAGUAGAAGAGUGAUCUAGUCUUUGUACAAUGAUAAGAUAGUUAAAUUGAUGAGAAUUAAACCGAAUUAAGACUUAAAUCAUUGGUUGUACUUUGAGAAAGAUAUGAAUCAUUGCUCUGGAUAAUAUCUCACAUAUAUAGACUAGGGUUGAACUGUAUAAACAAUCUUAAUGUUCAUUUUUACUUUUGUACACGUUCUUUAUUUCGUGGUUAAAACUAUUAUGACAGUUCCAAACAUUAUUUUAACCAUAAUUUUUAUUUGCAAAGCAAGUACCCAAGGCUCACGUAAUAUUAAAACUAAUUUAUCAAAUUUCAAAGUUACCUCGCACUUUUCACACAUUCCCUUAGUACUUUUCACACAUUGGUUGAUAGAUUUUUUUAGAAGGUUGGUAGAAUGCAAUAAAUAUUCACUAAUAUUAUUUGCAUAACAUUAUUUACGUGGAAACAAAAAUAUAAAUUCUUUUUCAUCAACUUAAUGCAUUGACAGCAGAAGUGCUUAUGUGUCAAGUUAGAUUCAUGAAUGGUACUAGUACAAUAUUAAUCGUUUAACUCUAUAAGAAAUAUGAAUUUUAAAUAUCGUUAAAGUUUAUUUAUAUUUAUAAUUAAUUAAUGGGUAAAUUAUAAAUUUAGUAAUUUAUGUAUUGUUUAAAUUAUAAUUUAAUCACUAAACUUUAAAAAGUUGCAAUCUAAUUAUUAAUAUUAUCAAUUUAUUAUAGUUUGAUCGUUAAGCUAUUAAUUUUCAUUAAUGAUAUAAUGACAAGAUCAUAGAUAAAUCCAAAUUAUUUUUAAUUAAGGCCGAAAUUUAAUUAUAAUUUUUUCAUAAAUCAAAAUAUAAAUUUAUUAUAUAUUAAUUUAUAAUUUCAUAAUUUUUAAAAAAAUAAAUAUAAAUUACUUCAUUUCUAUAAUAUCAAAAUACAAUUUUACUAUAUAUUAAUUUAUAAUUCUUUAUUUUUGUUAGAGUGAAUAACAUCCGUUCACACUAGUAUUAGAGUGAAUAACAUCCGCUCACACUAGCUAUUAAAUGUUGUCCCCUUAUUGACGACAAAAGAAAGAAAAAAAAUCUCAUUCAUUUUAAUAACUUUCCUUGACUUGACAUGUGUAAGCGAAUAUUUUUUAACGUAUGUUUGACGUUAAAUUAAUUAUUUAAAAUUUAAUUUUUUUAUACUUUUCGAGUAUAUAAUUUUAUAGAUACCUUCGUGUAUGUCACGUUCAUCUCAUUCAUUUUAAUAAUUUUCCUUGACACAUGUUAACUAAUAUUUUUUUUCCUUUCUUAUAAAAUAACUUCUAUGAUAUUAACGUAUCUUUGAUGUUAAAUCAAUUGUUUGGAGUAUAGUUUUUCUAUACUUUUCAUAAUUAAUAUUUAAAGAGUAUAUAUAUUUUUAUAGAUACCUUCAUAUAUGUAUGUCACGUUUAUCUCAUUCAUUUUAAUAUUUUUUUUUGACUUGACACGUGUAUGUUUGACGUUAAAUCAAUUAUUUAAAAUUUAGUAUCCUUAUAUUUUUUAUAAUUUAUGUUUAAAGAGUAUAUAUAUUUUUAUAGAUACCUUCGUAUAUGUAUGUCAUGCUCAUCUCAUUCAUUUUAAUAAUUUUCGUUGGCUUUAUAAAACAAUUUCUAUGAUAUUAACGUGUGCUUGACGUUAAAUCAAUUAUUUGAAAUUUAGUUUUUUUUUAUACUUUUCAUAAUUUAUGUUUAAAGAGUAUAUAUUAAUUUUAUAGAAUAUGUAUACCACGUUCAUCUCAUUCAUUUUAAUAAUUUUUCUUGGCUUAACACGUGUAAGCCAAUAUUUUUUCCCUUCUUAUAAAACAACUUCUAUGAUAUUAACGUAUGUUUGACAUUAAAUCAAUUAUUUGUAAUUUAGUUUCCCUAUACUUUUCAUAAUUCACGUUUAAAGAGUAUAUAUUUUUUAUAGACACCUUCAUUUAUGUAUGUAGUGUUCAUCUCUUGUUUAUUACUAGAUUAUGUAAUACCUACAUUUUGUGAAAAAAAAAAUGAAACAAAUAUAUUUAUUAAAAGUUCAUACAAAAAUCGAACGGUGCUUUGAUAUAAAUGGUAAACUUAAUUGUUUCAGGUUUAUUGUGUUAUGAGUAUAAAUUUUAUUAUGUCUAAAUUUUUAUUUAUUUACAAAUGUAAAAAGGAAAAAAAAACACUUUCACUAUAGUAUAACUUAUUUUGUGCAUAAAUGAGUACAUUGGUAAUUUUCUAAUUAAGUUGGUGCAAUGAUUCAAUUUAAUUUUUUGCAUCAAUAUCGUAAUAUUAUUCUUCAACUUAGUUUGCAUAAUUUAUUAUAAUAAUUUAAUUUAGAGAAAAAAUGCUAUCUUAUUUUUGUUUUAUUUUUUAUGUUAAAAGUUUUAUAAAUUGUGAUAAAUUAAUAAUUCAUUAUACAUAUUUUUUUUAUUUUCAUAUAUUUAUAUAUAUAUAUAUAUAUGAGACAUUAAUAUAAAUAUCUGUUGAGAAUUUCAAUAGCAGUAUGAAUUGAUGUGAAAAGGUGAAAGAAUAAGAAAUUUGAUAUCAGUUUUUUGUUAAUAAAAACUGUAUAUAAAAUUACAACUGAUAUACAUUGAUAUACUAACUAUCAGCUCCUAACUAACUAACUGAUGAUUAUCUCUUCAACAACUAACUGAUGGUUAUCUCUUUGACACUUCCCUUCAAGUUGUAGGGCGAUAGAGAUCCUUGACCCCCAACUUGGAUAUCAAAUAUUCAAGUUACUAGACUCCAAGUGCCUUAGUCAACACAUCUGCAAGUUGUUCAUUAGUGCACACAUGUUGUGUCCGAACCAAUCCGUCUUGUACUUUUUUAUCGUACAAAGUGACAGUCAACUUCUAUAUGCUUGGCUCACUCAUGGAAUACAGGAUUUGCUACAAUUCGAAGUGCUGCUUGACUGCCAAAAAGUAACAACGCUGGAUCAAGUUUAUCAAGACAUAUUUCUUUUAACAACCCAUCCAGCCAUAUUAUGUCCACAAUUGUCAAUGAAAUGUGUACAGACCAAUUUUACCCAGCCCAUUUCCAGCAGACCCAAAACCCAAUACCCACCUAAACCUAACCCAAAAUCAACCCAGUACACUUAAAACAAACCCAAACCAAUUAAACCUACCCAAACCCAAAUUAUAGGCCCAUAAUUACACCCUAGCCCCUAACCUAGGCGUCGCACAUCCCUUCAGUCGCCUACCCUCUGCGCGUCGAUGCCACCACCUGCCCACUGCUCCGCCCUACCUACUCUGCCACCUGCUCUAUCAAGGCCUACACGCAAGCAAAGAAGGACAAAACAGUAGUAGAAACAAUAGAAAAUUGUAAAAUGGCGAUUUAAAAGCCAUUCAAAACAGAUCUAAAGGGGGUAUUAUUUUUCGGUAUAAAACCGAUUGAAAAACCAUUGUAAAAAAAGAAAUCGAUCUUGUUUUGUAAAAAAAGGGGCUCCUUUUUUCUUUUCAUGAACAUUAGAGGAAAUUAAACAGAAAGAGAUUUCUCAAAUGCUUUUUAGGUUUGCUUUUAUUUUCUGUCCUUUUUUGUGUUUUUCUUUUACUCCAUACCAAAUAAUAAGUAAUAAAAUAACAAAGUAAAAAAGGGGAGAAAGAAAACCUUACCUGCUCCGCGCCGGAGGAGAAGGAAGGCGAGUGGUUUCGCUCCCAUUUUUUGGCUUUUGGGCUCUCCUUUCACGAGAUUCAGCCUUGAAUCCGUGUUCUAGAGGCCACCGGCUUCAAAAAGGGACCGGAAAGGCUUGAUUUUGUGCCUCCGGCUGCCGCUCGCGGUGGCGCUACGGCGGAGGUGCGCCGGAGCUUGGCCGGAUGGGGGAGAGGAAACAUUGAGAGGGUUUUUGUUGUUUUUUUGGAAGAAAGGUUUAAAAUGAGAUUUUCUAAAAUCUUUUUGGCUUUUAUAACAAAAUGAAACGGCGCCGUUUUAGUAAAGGGCCGACCCGCGAUCCGACCAGCUCCAAGGCUAGGGUCCGCGUGUUUCUAUUGGAAGGGCUAACUGCAACUUUAGCCCUUCCGCUUUUUAACAGUUUUACAAUCAACUACUUGUGUUUUUUAAAAAAUUUUCCCCGUAAAUUUUUUGUGAUUACAUUUUGGUCCCUGUUGGAACGACGUCAUUUUCGGGGGAAAGGUUAAAUUACCCUUUCAGUCCCUUCAUGUUGCAAGCGUGUUCAAAUUAGUAUCUCCCCUUUAUUUUAUUUGUGAUUGAACCCCAAAUUUUGUUUUAAAUUUUUAAUUUAGUCCUUUUGUUAUUUUAUUAUUAUUAUUAUUAUUAUUAUUAUUAUUAUUAUUAUUAUUAUUAUCUAUAUUAUUGUUACUUAUCAUAUUAUUAUUAUUACAUAAUAGCUUAUAUAUAUACAUAUAUACUUUUGCAUACCUUUUAUAGUUUUUAUAUACUUGCAUGUACAUAUACAUAUUUUUUAUAUUUUAUAACUUAAAACUAGUUCCAUGCAUGUGUAUAUUUCUUUUUUUUUAAUACUAAAUAUAUACGCAUAUGUUUUUAUUUUGUUUUAUAACUUAAAACUAUAUAUAUACAUACAUAUAUUCUUUUUAUAUAUUUUAUAGUUUUAAAAUAUACGCAUGCAUCUAUAUAUUUUUAUAAUACAUAUGUACAUAUAUUUUAUAAUUUAUAUAUAUACAUAUAUUUUUGUAAUUUUAAAAUGUACAUAUAAACACACAUACUUCUAUAAUUCAUUUAUUUAUUUAUUUAUUAAUUUAUUUCUGUGUUUCUUUCUUGUAUCUUUGUUUUACCUGAUGUUUAUUUGUAUAUUUACGUAUAUCUUUGUUGUUUUGCUUUUUAGAUUUUAUGAUUUCCACGUACAUAUAUAUACAUAUUUAUACUUUAGUAUUUUUAUAAUUUUGUUCAUGUUCAUUUUGAUUAUUUAUUCACAUCUUUAUUAUUAUUUUAAUCUAAUUCGUUCACGUAUCUGUUAUUCUGCAUGUCGUUAAUUUAUCUUUUUAUUCAUUCAUUUUAUUACUGCUGCUCGCAUUAUUUUUAUUUGCAUCAUCAUAAUUACUAUUUUUUCAUAUAUAGUUUUUACUCAAAUUUUCCAAAAAUGAAAUUUUAAAAAUAUAAGUAAUAUUUGGUAUUUUGGAUCUUCGAGAGAAUCGAGCCCUAACGUAUUGGGUUCCGACUUUCUUCGUUGAAUUUAAAUAAUCGAGAUUACUCUUUUAAAAAUGAUAAAAAGCUCGUUAUCAAGAAUUCAAUACGUUGUGUCCUAACGCAUUGGAUGUGACAUGUUGUUUUCUCGAGACGAAGAUUUUUCGAAAUAAAUGCAAUAUUCAAUGUUUAAUAUUUUGAGAAAUUGUGCCCUAACGUAUUGGGUUGCGAUUUCUUCUUUUGAUUUAAACAAUUGAAUAUUCUUUUAAACUUUAUUACACGAAUCUUUUCAAACUCAAGUUUUAAAUAAUAUCGAGAAUUAAAAAAGGAUUGUGUCCUAACUUUCUGGUCGUGAUCCUUUUUUAAAUCCAAGAUAGUUAAAUAUCUUUUAAAUAAGCAUUUUUCAUUCGCGUAUCAGGAAUUCGAGACAUUAUGUCCUAACUUACUGGAUAUGAUGCUUUCUUUCUCGAUUAACGUGGAAUGUGCUCCUUUUUCCCAAAAUUUUCAACAUUUUAAUACAAGGAUCUUAUUUUUAAAUUUUUUUUAAAGUUUUCAAGUUUUUGACACUAAGACAUUAAGUAAUCAACUAUGUACCAAUUUUGGGCGUAUCGAGGGUGCCAAUCCUUCCUCGUGCGUAACCGACUCCCCAACCCAUUUUUCUGAAUUUCGUGGACCAAACUUGCUGUUUUAAUAAAAUCAAACCGUUUAUUAAAAACAACCACUUUUCGAGGUAUCCAAUCACACCUCAUAAAAACGCUGGAAUACAGUCAACUUCUAUAUGCUUGGCUCACUCAUGGAAUACAGGAUUUGCUACAAUUCGAAGUGCUGCUUGACUGCCAAAAAGUAACAACGCUGGAUCAAGUUUAUCAAGACAUAUUUCUUUUAACAACCCAUCCAGCCAUAUUAUGUCCACAAUUGUCAAUGAAAUGUGUACAGACCAAUUUUACCCAGCCCAUUUCCAGCAGACCCAAAACCCAAUACCCACCUAAACCUAACCCAAAAUCAACCCAGUACACUUAAAACAAACCCAAACCAAUUAAACCUACCCAAACCCAAAUUAUAGGCCCAUAAUUACACCCUAGCCCCUAACCUAGGCGUCGCACAUCCCUUCAGUCGCCUACCCUCUGCGCGCCGAUGCCACCACCUGUCCACUGCUUCGCCCCACCUACUCCGCCACCUGCUCUAUCAAGGCCUACACGCAAGCAAAGAAGGACAAAACAGUAGUAGAAAAAUAGAAAAUUGUAAAAUGGCGAUUUAAAAGCCAUUCAAAACAGAUCUAAAGGGGUAUUAUUUUUCGGUAUAAAACCGAUUGAAAAACCAUUGCAAAAAAAGAAACCGAUCUUGUUUUGUAAAAAAAGGGGCUCCUUUUUUCUUUUCAUGAACAUUAGAGGAAAUUAAACAGAAAGAGAUUUCUCAAAUGCUUUUUAGGUUUGCUUUUAUUUUCUGUCUUUUUUUGUGUUUUUCUUUUACUCCAUACCAAAUAAUAAGUAAUAAAAUAACAAAGUAAAAAAGGGGAGAACGAAAACCUUACCAGCUCCGCGCCGGAGGAGAAGGAAGGUGAGCAGUUUCGCUCCCAUUUUUUGGCUUUUGGGCUCUCCUUUCACGAGAUUCAGCCUUGAAUCCGUGUUCUAGAGGCCACCGGCUUCAAAAAGGGACUGGAAAGGCUUGAUUUUGUGCCUCCGGCCGCCGCUCGCGGUGGCGCUACGGCGGAGGUGCGCCGGAGCUUGGCCGGAUGGGGGAGAGGAAACAUUGAGAGGGUUUUUGUUGUUUUUUUUUGGAAGAAAGGAUUAAAAUGAGAUUUUCUAAAAUCUUUUUUACUUUUAUAACAAAAUGAAAUGGCGCCGUUUUAGUAAAGGGCCGACCCGCGAUCCGACCAGCUCCAAGGCUAGGGUUCGCGUAUUUCUAUUGGAAGGGCUAACUACAACUUUAGCCCUUCCGCUUUUUAACAGUUUUACAAUCAAGUACUUGUGUUUUUUAAAAAAUUUUCCCCGUAAAUUUUUUGCGAUUACAUUUUGGUCCCUGUUGGAACGACGUCAUUUUCGGGGGAAAGGUUAAAUUACCCUUUCAGUCCCUUCAUGUUGCGCGCGUGUUCAAAUUAGUCCCUCCCCUUUAUUUUAUUUGUGAUUGAACCCCUAAUUUUGUUUUAAAAUUUUAAUUUAGUCCUUUUGUUAUUUUAUUAUUAUUAUUAUUAUUAUUAUUAUUAUUAUUAUUAUUAUCAUCAUAUUAUUAUUAUUACAUAAUAGCUUAUAUAUAUAUACAUAUAUACUUUUGCAUACCUUUUAUAGUUUUUAUAUACUUGCAUGUACAUAUACAUAUUUUUUAUAUUUUAUAACUUAAAACUAGUUCCAUGCAUGUGUAUAUUUCUUUUUUUUUAAUACUAAAUAUAUACGCAUAUGUUUUUAUUUUGUUUUAUAACUUAAAACUAUAUAUAUACAUACAUAUAUUCUUUUUAUAUAUUUUAUAGUUUUAAAAUAUACGCAUGCAUCUAUAUAUUUUUAUAAUACAUAUGUACAUAUAUUUUAUAAUUUAUAUAUAUACAUAUAUUUUUGUAAUUUUAAAAUGUACAUAUAAACACACAUACUUCUAUAAUUCAUUCAUUUAUUUAUUUAUUUAUUUAUUUAUUUAUUUCUGUGUUUCUUUCUUGUAUCUUUGUUUUACCUGAUGUUUAUUUGUAUAUUUACAUAUAUCUUUGUUGUUUUGCUUUUUAGAUUUUAUGAUUUCCACGUACAUAUAUAUACAUAUUUAUACUUUAGUAUUUUUAUAAUUUUGUUCAUGUUCAUUUUGAUUAUUUAUUCACAUUUUUAUUAUUAUUUUAAUCUAAUUCGUUCACGUAUCUGUUAUUCUGCAUGUCGUUAAUUUAUCUUUUUAUUCAUUCAUUUUAUUACUGCUGCUCGCAUUAUUUUUAUUUGCAUCAUCAUAAUUACUAUUUUGUCAUAUAUAGUUUUUACUCAAAUUUGCCAAAAAUGAAAUUUUAAAAAUAUAAGUAAUAUUCGGUAUUUUGGAUCUUCGAGAGAAUCGAGCCCUAACGUAUUGGGUUCCGACUUUCUUCGUUGAAUUUAAAUAAUCGAGAUUACUCUUUUAAAAAUGAUAAAAAGCUCGUUAUCGAGAAUUCAAUACGUUGUGUCCUAACGCAUUGGAUGUGACAUGUUGUUUUCUCGAGACGAAGAUUUUUCGAAAUAAAUGCAAUAUUCAAUGUUUAAUAUUUUGAGAAAUUGUGCCCUAACGUAUUGGGUUGCUAUUUCUUCAUUUGAUUUAAACAAUUGAAUAUUGUUUUAAACUUUAUUACACGAAUCUUUUCAAACUCAAGUUUUAAACGAUAUCGAGAAUUAAAAAAGGAUCGUGUCCUAACUUACUAGUCGUGAUCCCUUUUUUAAUCCAAGAUAGUUAAAUAUCUUUUAAAUAAGCAUUUUUCAUUCGCGUAUCAGGAAUUCGAGACAUUAUGUCCUAACUUACUGGAUAUGAUGCUUUCUUUCUCGAUUAACGUGGAAUGUGCUCCCUUUUCCCAAAAUUUUCAACAUUUUAAUACAAGGAUCUUAUUUUUAAAUUUUUUUAAAGUUUUCAAGUUUUUGACACUAAGACAUUAAGUAAUCAACUAGGUACCAAUUUUGGGCGUAUCGAGGGUGCCAAUCCUUCCUCAUGCGUAACCGACUCCCGAACCCGUUUUUCUAAAUUUCGUGGACCAAACUUGUUGUUUUAAUAAAAUCAAACCGUUUAUUAAAAGUAACCACUUUUCGAGGUGAUCCAAUCACACCUCAUAAAAAAGGAUUGGUGGCAACUCCCGUUUUACUCGUUUUCGUCAAAACCCAAGUCGACCCCAUUUUCAUCCAAAAAAUGGUGUCAACAGCUUGGCGACUCCACUAGGGACUUUAAAUAAGAGAGUCAAGUCACGAGUUGAUUAUUUCUUGUCUUUUUGUCAAAAGUUGAAAAUUUGAUUUAAAUAUACGAUCCUCUUAUUACAUUUUGUUUGUUUUUAGUUAUAGUUUUCAUGAUGUUUUGUAUUUUAAAUUUUUAUAUCUCUGCGCAUUGCAUUGCAUGACCGUUGGUCACACCUUUUUAAGUGGGAGUGAGAAGCUAGUCCUUCGUGAGGUUUUCACCUCCGUGUAGGAUAGUGGAUCGCUUUCGAGAUACAUCCGUACCUAUGUCUUCGUGAGAUUUUCAUCUCCGUGCAGCCAUAGGGAAAUGUAUUCCCCUGAACCGAACUCGGUCUAUAUGAGCAUAUAAUGGGUGAGGAUCGAGGAAUCUGUUGGUUCGGGUACCCUUACUUUAGAGCCAAACCUCAUGUAGUGAACCUUAGGAGCCCACCCUAGGUAGAACCACUUCAAACCCCUAGUAGUCACCCGACUAGGUGUUCUAUUUAUUCUUGCUUGCUUUUGUUUCAUACUAACCUAUUUUCCUUUUUUGAUGAUUGCAUUGCAUUUUCAUCAUAAAAAGAGGUGUUUAUUAACGUUCGGUUGUUAAAUAGAGAGCUUGUCAUAAGAAAAUGGGUCAUUUGAUAAAGUGGAAAAUAAUAUGGUUGCCCGAAUAUGUUCUGAGAAAACACAACAAGAGAAAGAUGAUAGUUUAAUAGAAGACAACACAACUAUUGCUUUGUUGCCCCGAGGAUUCAAGGUGAUAAAGAUUAUUUGAGAGCCGCUGAACUUUCUUAAAGAGAAGCCAAUGAGCAUCCCGAGGAUGAGCGAGCAACGAGCCGAGGUCGGAUCAAGCAAAAAAGAGAUAAAAGAGACAUCCCAUUUGAAGAGUUCGUGAAAUUCAUCUUAACGCGCGAAUGAAGAAAAGGAUCGUUGUCUUGGAAUAUAAGGGCAAGGCCGUAUAUAUAUCCAUUUUAUGUAAAGAAAUUUGUUUUCUAGUAAAGUUGUUCUAGUAAGAAUUGAACCAAGAAUCGACGUCUCUUUUUGCAUUCAUGCAUUUGCAUUACAUGACAUCAUAUGCAUUAACAACCAUUAAAAGACCCUAAUUGAGUAAAAUUACUUCAGAAAAUCUAGAAAAUUAACAUUCUUGUGGUACCCGAAGAAAAACAUGGACCAAAGAUUAAAAAACUUGAACGAUUCCAAAAGGGGAGGCAAGACCAACUACAACUGCAAAUACAAGAGCGGUAAGCUAAGGUCUAGCAAGAUAGAGUUUUGUGAAGGGGUUAAAAAAUGUUCAUAUCAAUGUCAUACAUGAAGACAACUGAAAAUGGACCUUGUUAGAUAUUCGCCCUUAUAAAAUUGGGAGUGUUCUAAAUAAUCGGACUGCAGAAGAAAUCUCUGUAAUAUUUAAAGCUUACUCAGAGUGAUAUUCAAAACACACUUGUUACUUUUAGCCUAAAGGCAACAAGAAGUCUUUUGUGAAAUAGGCUCAUGUUUGAACGUCAUUAUUUUAAUGGAAUGCAUCUUUGCAAUAUUUUGAACCAAUAUUCUUUUAUUUCUUGAAUGAUUAUUUUUAUUCUUUUAUUCUUUCAUCCAAAUCAUUCUUUCAUUCAUUCAUAAUCAUAUUGUAAUAACUUCAUAUAUUCUUUGUAUAUUCUUUUGUACCGACAAUAGGUCCCUGGAUAUCAAAGGCAUGAAUGACACUGCUAUAGACUUAGAAUCUCCUUUGAGCGAGACAUGUGUUUAGAGGGAUCUCACGACUUUGAAGAUGACAUAGAUUGUAUCCUAUCCCCGGACUUGUUGAGGAUGGUAGAACAAGAGGAUAAACAGAUCCUACCUCUCAAGGAAUCAUUAGAAAUUGUGAGCUUGGUGAAGACUAGAAUUGACCUGACCAGAGAGAUGAAGCAAGACCUUGUUGAGUUACCUCUAGAGUUCAAAGAUGUCUUUGUAUGAUCAUACCAGGGUAUGCCUCGAUUCUUAUAAUAAAACCUACACAACAGCACGAUGUCAGAAAUUUACAGUGCGAACGAUACAAUUCUUUGCCGGGGCAAUGGCUCUCUUGUUGAGUCAGCAUAGCUUUGCCCAUUUGAAGUCGAGUUUCCAUCCCUUCAAGAUGUUGUUGGAUUCUAUCCUGAUUAAAGAGGAAGAUCCAAAGUUUUUGUCGUAGUUUCGCCCCAAAAGGGCUCUAUGAAAGAAAUCUGGUACCAAAGAAGGUUUUUCACAUACAAGAUGAGAGUGGAAGAUCUUAUGUGGAAGACUUUAGAAUAACAUUGAUUCUGGUCAAAAAGCAUGACCAGGACUUGCUUGAUCUCAUGAGUUCAGACUCAAAAAAAAUAAAAAAUCAAAAAUCAAAAAAAUCGAAGUCAAAAAAAAGAGGAAGAAGAAAAAAGAAAAAGAAAAAGGAGAGGUCAAGGUGAAAACCCGCAAAGGGCGCUUUGACCAAAGGUGGAUCUGAGUUGAAAACCUGAAAAAGGGCGACUCAAAUUUUGAGCAAAAUGGGGCAUGGACAUCACCAUUAUCGAAGACUUCUAAUGGGCAUUGCUUCAUUUUUGAGAGGCUACUGCAUGGAUCAAGGUCAUCCUAUACCGAUACAGAAUUUCAGAUAGGAUGAUAUUGGAAAAUGCAUUGAACUUAAAUGAUAGCAUGAUAACUGAGGUCUGAAAUCAAUUCAGAAGCAGACACCACAUUUUGUCACCGAAUCACCUAGAGGCGAACAAGGACUGGCAUGUGAAAUUACCAUUUGCCCUCAUUGUUUGUCGAACAUCUGUACUGGGACAACACCUCUCUUUUUGGUUUACAGGAUUGAGGUAGUUUUACCUAUCAAAAUCCCCUUAUUGCUUGUUGGAGGGAUCCAAUCGCGAUGUGAUCAGUUGGCCCUAAGAAAAAGGAUUAAAAGCUAUUCAUCAGGGUCGGAUGUACCAUAAAUAAAUAAUACAAGCCUAUAAUAAACAGGCUCGUCUCAGAGAAUUCCACGAGAGGGCUAGAUGUUGAAAAAGAUUCUUCCUUAACGAAAGGAUUCUAAAGGGAAAUGAAUGCCAAACUAGGAAAGUCCUUAUGUUGUAAAGAAGACCAUUUUCAGAGGAGCACUGAUCCUGAGUGAGAUUGCCAAUCCUAUAAACUCGGAUCCAAUUAAGAAACACUUCGUUUAAAGAAGAAGGAAGGACCAAGGCGAAAACCUACAAAAGGGCACUUUGAGUAAAAAAAAAAGAGAUGAAAAAAAUGAAAAAGUAAAAAUGGAGAAGCUAAGGGGAAAACCCGCAAAGGGCACCUUAGGCCAAAGGGGAUUUGAGUUGAAAACCCGAAGAGGGCGGCUCAAAUAUUGAUCAGAAUAGGGCAUGAAGUGAUCAGAUUGGGGCAUGUGGUGAUCUUGCUAUACCUGAAAGGGUAAGGCGACAUCUUGAGGCAUCGACAGAGUCUCGAAGAUCUCCUAAACACAUGUCAAACUUAGAAAAGUCUUCAGAAAGUUUGUACAGAAAAGUUCAAGCUGCGAUAUCUGGGGCACCUAACCUUCAUACUAUUUAUAUAUUGAAGAUUUUCCAAUCAAUUCCUCUUUUUAUUCUUGCUAUCCUUGAUAAUUUAUUCAUUUUGAGCUAUGCUCUCAAAUCAAUUCUAUUUUAUCUAUCGUUAUGAUCUUUUGCAAGCAUGUUGCAUUAGAAUAAUGAUUAAUGGACUAAUAAUACUUUCACAAUUGAAGUUUUGCAUAUUACUCUAGAAGUUUCUAAAUAAUAUAGGAACCAGAAAUAGGACUAUUGUUUAGAAAACACCAAGUUUAAAGGGUGAAAUAUCUAAGAAGGAAGGGUCUAAGUUAAGACUAUCCCUUCGGAUUUUGUUGUCUAAACAUUGAUUGAACAAAAUGACAAAAUAUCGUGUUGGUAACAAAGCUUCAAUGAUCACCAAGUAAUAAGAAAAGGUUUUCUCGAAGAAAAUUUUUUCAAUUGUACAUGAGCAUUUGGUAUGACACCUUGGGAAUGGGGUAAAGGACCAAAGAGCUUCACAUUCUGUAUCCUUGAAUUGUGAUAGGAGAAGAUUAAAAAAAGCCAUAUCUUUCUACCCUGGGGUUACAGCGGGAGAAAGAUGGUUCAAAUUUUGCAUCCAGUGGAUUGAACUUUGACGUUCACAAUGGGGGGCAAUCAGAUUAAGUGUUUCUUUGGAUAUGCCAGCUAAGCAAGAAGACGUUGUAACACGCCAGUGAUAAAACAAUGAGCAAUAACAACCUAAGCAUUAAGGAAUCAUUUUCAUGACAUUUUGCAUUCAUUCAAAUGUCAUUCAUACACAUAUAGUUAGGAGCAUUUGAUUCUUUAUGAUCAUGUCAUCUUAAUCACUAGGCACAAUUAGGUUCAUAAAAUAGAACAUACAGGUCAUGUUCCCUAGAGAACAGAUCAACGAAGUUAUAGAUCUUAUCUUCCUGUAUUUGGCAGCGGAGGAGAUCGAAGAUAGCAGAUCUUAUCUUCCUGUAUUUACAGUAGAGGAGAUCGAAGAUAGUAGAUCUUGUCUUCUUGUAUUUAGUAGUGGAGGAGAUCAAAGAUAGCAGAUCUUGUCUUCCUGUAUUUGGCAGCAGAGGAGAUCGAAGAUAGCAGAUCUUAUCUUCCUGUAUUUGGCAGUGGAGGAGAUCGAAGAUAGCAGAUCUUAUCUUCUUGUAUUUGGCAGCGGAGGAGAUCGAAGAUAGCAUAUCUUAUCUUCCUGUAUUUGGCAAUGGAUAUCAGAUCUUGUCUUCCUGUAUUUGGCAGCAAAGGAGAUCGAAGAUAGCAGAUCUUGCCUUCCUGUACUGACAGUGAAGCAGAUCGAAGAAACCAUAGUUUGCAAUUCAUACGAUUGAAGCCACAACGGUGAAUCUUACUUCCCAGGUGAUGCAGCGGAACAAAUUGAAGCUACGACAGUGAAUUUCACUUCCUGGACAUUGCAAUUCAAAAGAUUGAAGCCACAACGGUGAAUCUUACUUCCAGGAUGCAGUGGAACAGAUUGAAGCUACAACAGCGGAUCUUGCUUCCCUGGCAGUUAAAAAGAUUGAAGCUACAACAGCGAAUCUUACUUUCCUAGCGUUGCAACGGAACAGAUUGAAGCUACAACAGCGGAUCUUGCUCCCCUGGCAAUUAAAAAGAUUGAAGCUACAACAGCGGAUCUUACUUUCCUAGCGUUGCAGUGGAACAGAUUGAAGCUACAACAGCGAAUCUUACUUCCCUGACAUUGCAAUUAAAAAGAUUAAAGCUACAACAGCAGAUCUUACUUUCCUAGCAUUACAGUGGAACAGAUUGGAGCUACAACAGCGGAUCUUACUUCCCCGGCAGUUAAAAAGAUUGAAGCUACAACAGCGGAUCUUACUUUCUAUUGCAGUGGAACAGAUUGAAGCUACAACAGCGGAUCUUACUUCCCCGGCAGUUAAAAGAUUGAAGCUACAACAACGGAUCUUACUUUCCAAGUUGCAGUGGAACAGAUUGAAGCUACAGCAGCGGAUCUUGCUUCCCCGACAUUGUAACUUAAAAGAUUGAGGCCACAACAACGAAUCUUACCUUUUCAGGCGGUGCAGUAGAACAGAUUGAAGCUACAAUGGCGAAUCUCACUUCCCUGACAUUGCAAUCAAAAGAUUGAGGCUACAACGGCGAAUCUUAUUUCCAAGCAGUGCAGUGGAAUAGAUUAAAGUCACAACAGAGAAUCUUACUUCCCCGACAUUGUAAUUAAAGGAUUAAGGCCACAACGGAAAAUCUUAUUCCCAAGCGGUACAGCGAAACAGAUUGAAACUACAACGUGGAACCGAUUGAAGCUACAAUGGCGAAUCUUGCUUCCCUGUCAUUUUAAAUAGAUUAAAGAUGACAAACCUUAUCUCUUUGAAACUGCAGUAGAGCAAAUCAUAGCAAGUCUUAUCUCCCUAACGUUGUAGUAGAAUGGACUAAAACCCCGAAUCUUAUCCUCCUGAAGUUGCUGCGAAGAAGACUGAAGCUACGAGUCAGGUCUCCUUGAAGUGCAGUGGAAUGGAGUCAAGCAACAAGUCCUAGUGGAUUGGAAUGAGGAUACUUGAAAAAGAGAAGCGUCAAGAGAAGCCAAGACUCGAUGGGACUGGGCAAAAUUGGUCUUUCUUAGUCUUUGCUUUAUUCUCGUUACACGACAACGAGCAAAGAGGGGCAGCUGUACAGACCAAUUUUACCCAGCCCAUUUCCAGCAGACCCAAAACCCAAUACCCACCUAAACCUAACCCUAAAUUAGCCCAGUACACUUAAAACAAACCCAAACCAAUUAAACCUACCCAAACCCAAAUUGUAGGCCCAUAAUUAAACCCUAGCCCCUAACCUAGGCGCCGCACAUCCCUUCAGUCGCCUACCCUCUGCGCGCCGAUGCCACCACCUGUCCACUGCUUCGCCCCACCUACUCCGCCACCUGCUCUAUCAAGGCCUACACGCAAGCAAAGAAGGACAAAACAGUAGUAGAAAAAUAGAAAAUUGUAAAAUGGCGAUUUAAAAGCCAUUCAAAACAGAUCUAAAGGGGUAUUAUUUUUCGGUAUAAAACCGAUUGAAAAACCAUUGCAAAAAAAGAAACCGAUCUUGUUUUGUAAAAAAAGGGGCUCCUUUUUUCUUUUCAUGAACAUUAGAGGAAAUUAAACAGAAAGAGAUUUCUCAAAUGCUUUUUAGGUUUGCUUUUAUUUUCUGUCUUUUUUUGUGUUUUUCUUUUACUCCAUACCAAAUAAUAAGUAAUAAAAUAACAAAGUAAAAAAGGGGAGAACGAAAACCUUACCAGCUCCGCGCCGGAGGAGAAGGAAGGUGAGCAGUUUCGCUCCCAUUUUUUGGCUUUUGGGCUCUCCUUUCACGAGAUUCAGCCUUGAAUCCGUGUUCUAGAGGCCACCGGCUUCAAAAAGGGACUGGAAAGGCUUGAUUUUGUGCCUCCGGCCGCCGCUCGCGGUGGCGCUACGGCGGAGGUGCGCCGGAGCUUGGCCGGAUGGGGGAGAGGAAACAUUGAGAGGGUUUUUGUUGUUUUUUUUUUGGAAGAAAGGAUUAAAAUGAGAUUUUCUAAAAUCUUUUUUACUUUUAUAACAAAAUGAAAUGGCGCCGUUUUAGUAAAGGGCCGACUCGCGAUCCGACCAGCUCCAAGGCUAGGGUUCGCGUAUUUCUAUUGGAAGGGCUAACUACAACUUUAGCCCUUCCGCUUUUUAACAGUUUUACAAUCAAGUACUUGUGUUUUUUAAAAAAUUUUCCCCGUAAAUUUUUUGCGAUUACAUUUUGGUCCCUGUUGGAACGACGUCAUUUUCGGGGGAAAGGUUAAAUUACCCUUUCAGUCCCUUCAUGUUGCGCGCGUGUUCAAAUUAGUCCCUCCCCUUUAUUUUAUUUGUGAUUGAACCCCUAAUUUUGUUUUAAAAUUUUAAUUUAGUCCUUUUGUUAUUUUAUUAUUAUUAUUAUUAUUAUUAUUAUUAUUAUUAUUAUUAUUAUUAUUAUUAUCAUCAUAUUAUUAUUAUUACAUAAUAGCUUAUAUAUAUAUACAUAUAUACUUUUGCAUACCUUUUAUAGUUUUUAUAUACUUGCAUGUACAUAUACAUAUUUUUUAUAUUUUAUAACUUAAAACUAUUUCCAUGCAUGUGUAUAUUUCUUUUUUUUUAAUACUAAAUAUAUACGCAUAUGUUUUUAUUUUGUUUUAUAACUUAAAACUAUAUAUAUACAUACAUAUAUUCUUUUUAUAUAUUUUAUAGUUUUAAAAUAUACGCAUGCAUCUAUAUAUUUUUAUAAUACAUAUGUACAUAUAUUUUAUAAUUUAUAUAUAUACAUAUAUUUUUGUAAUUUUAAAAUGUACAUAUAAACACACAUACUUCUAUAAUUCAUUUAUUUAUUUAUUUAUUAAUUUAUUUCUGUGUUUCUUUCUUGUAUCUUUGUUUUACCUGAUGUUUAUUUGUAUAUUUACGUAUAUCUUUGUUGUUUUGCUUUUUAGAUUUUAUGAUUUCCACGUACAUAUAUAUACAUAUUUAUACUUUAGUAUUUUUAUAAUUUUGUUCAUGUUCAUUUUGAUUAUUUAUUCACAUCUUUAUUAUUAUUUUAAUCUAAUUCGUUCACGUAUCUGUUAUUCUGCAUGUCGUUAAUUUAUCUUUUUAUUCAUUCAUUUUAUUACUGCUGCUCGCAUUAUUUUUAUUUGCAUCAUCAUAAUUACUAUUUUUUCAUAUAUAGUUUUUACUCAAAUUUUCCAAAAAUGAAAUUUUAAAAAUAUAAGUAAUAUUUGGUAUUUUGGAUCUUCGAGAGAAUCGAGCCCUAACGUAUUGGGUUCCGACUUUCUUCGUUGAAUUUAAAUAAUCGAGAUUACUCUUUUAAAAAUGAUAAAAAGCUCGUUAUCAAGAAUUCAAUACGUUGUGUCCUAACGCAUUGGAUGUGACAUGUUGUUUUCUCGAGACGAAGAUUUUUCGAAAUAAAUGCAAUAUUCAAUGUUUAAUAUUUUGAGAAAUUGUGCCCUAACGUAUUGGGUUGCGAUUUCUUCUUUUGAUUUAAACAAUUGAAUAUUCUUUUAAACUUUAUUACACGAAUCUUUUCAAACUCAAGUUUUAAAUAAUAUCGAGAAUUAAAAAAGGAUUGUGUCCUAACUUUCUGGUCGUGAUCCUUUUUUAAAUCCAAGAUAGUUAAAUAUCUUUUAAAUAAGCAUUUUUCAUUCGCGUAUCAGGAAUUCGAGACAUUAUGUCCUAACUUACUGGAUAUGAUGCUUUCUUUCUCGAUUAACGUGGAAUGUGCUCCUUUUUCCCAAAAUUUUCAACAUUUUAAUACAAGGAUCUUAUUUUUAAAUUUUUUUUAAAGUUUUCAAGUUUUUGACACUAAGACAUUAAGUAAUCAACUAUGUACCAAUUUUGGGCGUAUCGAGGGUGCCAAUCCUUCCUCGUGCGUAACCGACUCCCCAACCCAUUUUUCUGAAUUUCGUGGACCAAACUUGCUGUUUUAAUAAAAUCAAACCGUUUAUUAAAAACAACCACUUUUCAAAGUAUCCAAUCACACCUCAUAAAAACGGAUUAGUGGCGACUCCCGUUUUAUUCGUUUUCGUCAAAACCCAAGUCGACCCCGUUUUCAUCCAAAAAAUGGUGUCAACAAAAUGCUUCUAUACUCAGCUUCAGCUGAUGAAUGUGAGACUAUAUUCAGCUUCUUUGACUCCCAGGAGAUAAGAGAAUCUUCGAGUUUGAUGUAGAAACCAACAAUAGACCUUCUAGACAUGGGGCACGUGGCUCAAUCCGAAUCGCAAUAAGUAACAAGUUGUUGUUUAUUUGAUGCAGCCAACAAAAUCCCUAGGCCAAGAUCCUGACACCCCUUUUUGGGACUUGACUUUGUCUAGCUUCAUCUUAGGCUUUCAUUUUACCUUGAUGGAUUAACUUAUUAAGAGAUAACCACGCAAUCAAAUAUACUGAUUGUCAACUACCUUUAGCGAACUUACAGAUAUCUCGCCACUACGACGUAUUCUUACUUUGAUCUAUUCAUUCCACAUUGAACUCAAUACCAACUUAUUGUAUUAUCUCGACAGCUGCCUUCUUAUAACUUAGCUUGAGCAUAUACGCUUCUAAAAGAAAGACCGUUUACCUACAUCCUUGUAUGUGACCUUCAAAUAUAAGACUUGGCGGAUAAUCAGACACUAUGUUUUUCUUGCGGAAUUGUACUUGUAAGACAGUCCUAAUGGACUUUUCCUCUUAAGAUAGUUCGAAUAGAUAUUUCUUUAAUCAGGUACCUAAUUUACUUCCCAUCCACCAAUCGUCUCCAGCAGACUAUCUCUUCACUAGAUCAUGUAAGGCAGACUUCCCUUUUAUAAGAUAGUCCUUAGUAGACUUCUCAGCACUAGAUAGACCCAACAAACAUCAUCUUCCUUUGUUAAUCCCUGGUGGACAUUCCACCUAAGAUAGUCCUUGGCGUACAUUCCACUUAAGAUAGUCUUUGGUGAACAUCAUUUUUUGGUGACCUCUUUGCCACUAAAUACUUAGAAUUAAAAUCUGAAGAACCGCCUCGCUUUCUCAUAACCAAUAUUGACUUAUUCAUUACGUUUGACGAACUCUUAAAUGGCAGAUACUUAUCCACAAAUACUCUGAAGAAAAUACUACUGUUUUUAUACAUAUCCACGCACUAAGCACUUUCACAUAUUCCUCAUGCGCUCGCAUCUUGGCUGGAUCUCUUAUCAGCACAAUUGCCCACGUUCCCAUAUGCGCCAUGACCGUUAUGACAAACAUGUUCAGCAUUUUGCUUUGAAUGUUCACAACCAUAAGAAGAGAAAGGCACAAAAGCAUCAUACUCAUCCCAAAGUAAGCGUAAUUUAGUGAAAUACACAAACAUUGAAGCGGUUCCUUGAAUGUGAGAAAUGGUCUCACGAUGCAAAAAAUAGACUCGAAAUGCAUCAACUUUAUUAAAACGUUCAUCAAGAUCUUUCCAAACAAACGUUGCACUGGAAGAAAAAACUAUCCUUACUGAAAGUUCUCUGCUAACUGUAUUCAAGAUCCAUGAUACAAUUAUGACAUUACAGUGUUCCCAUUAAGAAUGCAAAUCCUCUUGUUUUUUUCCAAUAAUGCAAUUCGCAUAAAUCUGCUCCAGAUAUUAUAGUUUUCAAGCCCAAAAAUGGAUUCAUAAAAAAGGAAAAAUGAUUUCAUGAAAAAUAACAUCACGGUUGACAAAGAAAGUUUUUGUGUCAAGGUUGAAUAGAAGAUAACCUUUUUAAACAUUUGAGUUCCCCAUGAAAACAAACGACAUUGCUUUGGGAGAAAACUUAUUACACUCGCCCCAAAUUUUGCUAGGUAUAUUGGACAAAAAUUUUAAGGAUCGGGCAGCCUUAAGCAAGUAUUGAUGCUUACGCUCGGCCACACCAUUUUGUUGUGAAGUGUGAGUGCAUGAAAUUUGGUGUACAAUUCCCAAGGUAGAAAAAUAUGCAUUACAUUCAUUAUUAAAGAAUUCAUAUCCAUUGUCAUUACAAAUGAUUUUGACAAUGGCUAAAAACUGGUUUUUUUACCAUAGUAACAAACUGCUUGAGUUGUAAAUUAACAUCACUCUUUAAUUGUAAAAUAUACACCUAAGUCAUGCUUGAGUAAUCAUCAACAGUGGUUAAGAAGUAUCUAUGUCCACUAUGUGUAGAAACUCUAUAAGGACCCUACAAGUCAAUAUGGAUAAGAGAAAAAAUUAUUUCAACCUGAGUUUUACUUAUUGAAAAAGAUAACCUACUUUGUUUUGCAAGAGGACAUACAGGGCACUGCUGUAUGGGACAAAUAUUCGAGAAUGUACAUGGUAUGUAAGACAUCUUAUUCAACUUUGAAAGGGAAGCAUGACCAAGAUGUGCAUCCCAAAGUAGAGAGGAUUCUAUAGUUGCAGUUGUGAGGAAUGAGGUGUCAGCUGUGUUUGAAGCUGGUGAAGUUUCAUUUUUAGAAGAGUAAAGGACGUAGAGACCACCUUGUUCUUUACCAAUCCCCUUUUAUCUUUCCUCUCAAAAGAUCCUGAAAAAGAUUAAAAUGGGGAUAAAAUGAAACAAAACAAUGUAGUUCUUUAGUAAGUUUGGAAAUUGAAAUUAGAUUGUAGCAAAAAAUUGGAAUAUAAAUCACAAGUGUUAGUUUAGCAUCAAGAUAAAUAGCACAAGAUCCUAUGUGAGUAAUCAGAGUGGAUGAACCAGUAGGUAAUCAAACACAAGAUGAAGAUGAUGCACAAGAAAUAGGAGAUUCCAAACACUAGAAGUUAGAUAGCAUAUGGUUGGUAGUACCAGUGUCCAAGAUCCACUCACAAGGUGAUCUCAUAUCUGCCAAACUUGCAACAGCUUCAACUGAAGAGUCUUUAUUCAAUAGAAACAGAAUAUGUUGAUAUUGUGCUUGUGUAAAAAAGGGUGCUUGAGAGGUAUUAAACAUACCAAUGUUACCAGCCGUAUCAAAAGAAUUGGUCACCUCAACAUUAUUCACCACAGAUCUAGUUGAAGUCUUUCGUGAACUUAAAACCAGGGGCUAUCCAAUUAACCUAUAAUAAUUCUCCAUCUUAUGCCCCUUGAUUUUACAAUGAUCACAUACGCCAUUGAUCCUCUUAUUCUGGGCCACAUUAGUAGAAUGCACGAAAGUUGGAUCAGGAAUGACAGACCCUGAAGCAUGUUGCCUUUGAGACUCUUCCUGCACCAACAUAGAGUAUGCUUGAUUUAUAGAAGGCAAUGGAUUCAUUAGUAAAAUUUGACUACGAACUGCAUUAUAGGUUUCAUUUAAGCCUAUCAAGAACUAAAACAGACACUGUUGAGUAACAUGUUUAGCAUUUUGCUUUGAUUAUUCACAACCAUAAGAAGAGAAAGGUACAAGAGCAUCAUCCUCAUCCCAAAGCAAGCGUAAUUUAGUGAAAUACAUAGACAUUGAAGCGGUUCCUUGAAUGUGAGAAGUGGUCUCACAAUGCACAAAGUAGACUCGCUAUGCAUCAACUUUAUUAAAACGCUCAUUAAGAUCUUUCCAAACAAAUGCUACACUGGAAGCAAAAACUAUCCUUGCUGAAAGUUCUUUGCUAACCGUGUACAGCCCAAAUUUACCCGAGGCCCAAACCCCAAACAGCAGACCCAAUAACCCAAAUUACAAACAAGCCCAAACCCAAAAACAAAAAAAAAGAAACAAAGAAACCCUAGCCCCUAAUCCUAGCCUCUGCCACCGCCCUAGCCUCUACCAUGCCAGCACCGCCACUGCCGCCGCCCUCCUAGAACCGUCCACUUGCACCACUUGCGCCUGCAACAGUCAGAGAAGAAAAGAUAGCAAACAAUUGAAACAUGCAACAAAUAAUAGGGAUAACAUGUAACAAUAGCUAUAAAAGCCGAAUCUCAUAACUAAACAGGGGAUUUUUGCUUUUUGAAAAUAGACGUGAAAUCAAAAAUAAAAACAGACAUUCGAGAAUAGAAGCAACACUUUAAGGUUUUAUUCUUUUUGCUAUUUCAUUUUUUUUUUCAUUUCGAAAUAUAAGACAAAAAAGAGAGUUUUUUACCUUUUUUAGUCGUCAUCGGAGUGUUGGAGGCGGAGGGCUGCAUCGAAAAAAUAGAAGAAAUUUUUUGGACUCCCCGCCGCCAUGCACGGCGGCGCCGACACCGACGAUCGGUGACUGGCGACCGGCACGGUAGUCAAUAACCGGACCUGAGGCUGGUGCCCGGAGAAAGAGGGGAGUUAAGAGUGUUUUUGAGAAUUUUUUGCCAAGAAGAGAGAAAAAUGAAUAUUUUUUUUUGGAAAAAAUUUGGUUUAAAUAGGGGAGCAAAACAACGCCGUUUUGCUCAGCCCUUUAAAAUGCCAAAACGGCGUCGUUUCGAGGCCGGCCCGAGACCCGACUCGCUCCAGGUCAAGAUCCGCGUGUUUUUAUUUAGAAGGGCUAAUUGCACCUUUAGCCCUUCCGCUUUUUAAUGGUUUUAUAAUCAAGUAUUUUUAUUGCUUUUAAUUUUACCCCGGAUUGUUUUUGAGUUUUCAAUUUAGUCCCUACUGGAACUCUGCGUUUUGCAAGAAUGGGAUUAUUUCCCAUUUGCCCCUUCCUAGUUUUCCACGCAUUCAAGAUGAUCCUUUCUUCUUUAUUUGUUUUCAAUUUCGCCCCCAAAUGUUGCUUUUUUUUAUUUUAGUCCUUUUCUAUCUUUAUUUUAUUAUUAAACCAAUUAAGUUAGUACUAUUAUUAUUAUUUAAUAUUAUUGUUAUUAUCAUCAUAUUUCCAUUUAUACUUAUUUAUGUAAAUUUUAAAUACAUUUAUCUUAUUAUAGUAUUAUUAUUUUAAUUACUUACAUAUAUAUAUACACAUACAUGUGAUUUUAUAAUAUAUAUAUAUGUAUAUUUUUAUAAUCUAUCUAUAUAUUCAUAUACGUACCUAUAUAUAUUUCAUAAUUUUUAUACACAUCUAUAUACAUAUUUUCUAAAUUUUUAUAAUUAUAUAUAUUUAUACGUACACAUUUCUUAAUUUUUUUUAUAAAUAUAUAAAGUAUACAUAUAUACAUACUUUUAUAUAUACAUGUUUUUACAUAUUUCAUAAUUUUAUAUAUACACAUAUAUGUAUAAUUUAACUCAUAUUUACGUAUAUACAUACUUACAUAUAUUUUCACGUAAAAUAGCUUUAAAAUAUGUGUACAUACAUAUGCUCUUCAUAUUUUCAUAAUUUUGUACAUAUAUAUAUCUUUUAUAUUUUCAUAAUUUUUUGGAUCAUUUCGUUCAUUUAUUUAUUUGUUACAUGACUGCUAUUAUUAUUUAUGUUUUAGUUUUUAUCUGUUUAUUAUUUGUCAUUGUGCCUGCAUGAUUGAAUUUUUUUAUAUAUUGGUCUUAUUUAUUUAUUUGUUCGUUUUUGCUCAUAUUAUUUACAUUAUCAUCAUUAUCAUUAUUUUGCUUCCAUUUUUACUCGGAUUUAUCAAAAAACGAAAAAUUUCAAAAUAAAAGUAAUACUCAGUAUUUGGGAUCUUCGAGACAAUCGAGCCCUAACGUAUUGGGUUCAGAUUUUCUUCAUUGAACCUAAAUAAUCGAGAUUACUCUUUUAAAAAAAAAUAAAAAGCUCAUUAUCGGGAAUUCAAUACGUUGUGUCCUAACGCAUUGGAUAUGACACGUUGUUUUCCCGAGAUGAGGAUUUUUUCUAAAAAAUAAUAAAGGCAAUAUUCAAUGUUUAGAAUUUUGAGAAAUUGUACCCUAACGUAUUGGGUUGCGAUUUCUUCAUCUGACUUAAACAAUUGAAUAUCCUUUUAAACUUUAUUACACGAGUCUUUUUUUCAAACCUAAUCUUUAAACAACCUCGGAAAUUAAGAAAAGAUCAAGUCCUAACUUACUGGGCCUGAUCCCUUUUUUCUGAAAUUCGAGAUAACUAAAUAUCUUUUAAAUAAGCAAAUUUUUAGCAUUCAUUCGCGUAUCGAGAAUUCGAGACAUUGUGUCCUAACUUACUGGAUAUGAUUUUCUUUCUCGAUUAACGUGAAAUAUGCCCUUUUCCCAAAAAUUUUCAACAUUUUAAUACAAGGGUCGUAUUUUUAAAAUUCUUCAAAGUUUUCAAUUUUCGACAUUAAGACAUUAACUAAUCAACUAGGUACCAAUUUUUGGGCGUUACGAGGGUGCUAAUCCUUCCUAGCACGUAACUGACUCCCGAACCCGUUUUUCUGAAUUUCGUGGACCAAAAUCGUUGCUUUAAUAAAAUUAGAUCGUUUAUUAAAAACAACCACUUUUCAAGGUGAUCCGAUCACACCUUAUCAAAAAGGAUUGGCGGUGACUCCCGUUUUCGUUUUCAAAAUUCAAGUCGGCCCCGUUUUAUCAAAAAAAUGGUGUCAUCAAACCGUAUUCAAGAUCCAUGACAAAACUGCGACAUUACAACAUUCCCAUUGAGAAUGCAAAUCCUCUAUUACAGAUUCUUUAGAGUUGGUCCCAUCUGCAAAACCUAACUUGUUUUUUUCCAAUAAUGCAAUUCGCAUAGAUCUGCUCCAGAUAUUAUAGUUUUGAAGCCCAAAAAGUUAAUGAGAAACGAGUAACGUAUCUAGAGUAUCAGUAAGAGUAUCAGAAGGAUGCAAGUACAGGGGAUGAUUGAAAUCAACUAAAAGAUUAAAGGAAUUCACCAUUGCAACAAAUCGCGAACAAAAAAACAAAGUAGUGACAAACCAACCACAAUCAAUAGAGAAUUUCAAUAGCAGUUAAGAAUUUAUGUGAAAAGGUGAAAGAUGAAUAAAUUUGAUAUCAAUUUUUUAUUAGUGAAAACUGUAUAUAAAAUUAGAACUGAUAGUAUUUAUAUACUAUCAACUCCUAACUAACUAACCGAUGAUUAUCUCUUCAACAAUAUCAUAUUCAAACUUAAAUUUCUUGAAUAAGGUAUAUAUUUUAGUAUUUAUAGUUCUCUUUAUAUAUUUUUAAAAAAAAAUUGAUUUUAAGUUUUUUUAAAGUAAAUUUAUGUAUUAUUUUAUACGAGGUGCCACGUUAUGGCAAAAAAUUUCAAAUUUUCUCUUGGUAUUAUCAAAUACCCUCAUUCGUUUUACGGUUUAAGAUCAAUCUUGUAGGAGUCGAGAAUGGAUUCAAAUAAAAUUUUUCCAAUAAUAAUAACUCCAAUAUUCAAAUUUAGUACAGAAUUCAACCACUAUUGGUAGUUCCAAAAUUUUAUCCUCAAUAAUUGUUGGUAUUGAAACGUGUUACACAAUGAGUUUUGUCGAUAUAUUAUUUGUUGAUGACCUUUCUCGAUUAUGAUACUGACAUGUACCUACGAAAAACAGUCCAUGCUUGACCUUAUUUACAUGUGACCAAGCAUAAUUUGACACAAAGCUUCUAUUGUGGCACCUUUUCGGAGGAUCAUAAUAAACAGAAGUAUAAAUAUAGACUUCUAACUACUUUUUUUCAUCAACUUAAUGCAUUGAUAGCAGUACUGUUUAUGUGUGAAGUUAGAUUCAUGGUAUUAAUGCAUUGAUAGCCGUACUGUUUAUGUGUGAAGUGCUAUAUUUUUAUUAAAUAUUAAAAAUAUUUUAUUUAAACUUAAAUUAUAUUUAUUUUCAUAUUAAAUUAUACAUGUACUAUAAUUUAAAUUAUUCAAUUUUGAAUUACACUUUUUUAUUAAUACAAAAGUAAGACUUACCACUAUAAAAUAUGUAUUGUUAAUUAGUAGUUAAAAAUUCACAUUAAAAUUCAAAUUUCAUUAUCAUUUACACAUUCAAAUCUCCAUCAAGAUUUGAAGGUUCUUUCUUUUAAUUAUUAUAGUAUCAAGGGGAAUUUAAAGGGGUAGGUGGUGCCUUGGUUCAAUUAUGUUUUAGCUCCUCAAAUGAAAAAAAUUAUGUUAAGUCACUCUUAAAAUAAUGUAAUCAUAAAAUUAUAUUUGAUAAAAUUAUAUUUAGACCUCUUAAAAAUUUAUAAUUUAAUUCUGACCCCUUUUUCGUAACCAUUUCAAAAUUAUUACUUUGUAUUAUUUACAUUAAAUAAAAAUAUAUUCUUUUAUAAAUUAUAAAUAUAAUUAGGUAAAAUCACAUAACUCCCAACCCCUAACUUCGUCUUUAUUUCGACAGCGACUUCCAUCUUUCAAUUUCACUAAUUAAAUUUGUUUAUCUAUUGGGAGUUUUCUUCAACCUUUUCUCUCAUUGGUUUUUAUUAUAUAUAAAGGAUACUAAAUCAUCAUGUGUGAUCUUGUGGUUAAUCUAGCUAUCUUUAUUUCAAAAUGAAUCCUCUUAUUCUAUUGAAGAAUGCUGCUCAAAAUGGAGAUGUUAACAAGUUAUAUCAAGCGAUAGCUAAAGAGUCUAAUGUUUUGGAGCAUUAUGAUCAAACACCUUUCGCUGAAACUCCAUUACAUAUAGCCACAAGUCGAGGGCAUAUCAAUUUUGCUUUAGAGAUAAUGAGGCUUAAACCAUCUCUUUCCAAGAAGCUAGAUGAACAAGUGUGGAGUCCCAUGCACGUUGCGUUGCAACAUAACCAGACCUCGAUGGUGUAUCGGCUCAUAGAGACGGAGCCAACCCUUGUUGGUGUCAAAGGAAGGGAGGGUUUCACUCCACUGCACUACGUUGUUCAAAACGACGAAGUUAAUCUCUUGCGUGAGUUUCUAGCGGUAAGCCCUCAUUCCAUCAUGGAUACCACGAAUAAAGGUAAAACGGCUUUGCAUAUCGCUGUGGAGAAGGGAAAUACCAGAGCUUUAGAGACUUUGUUGUCGUUUCUUCGAAGGUCAUGGUAUAGGGAGGCAUUAUAUUGGGAAGAGAAAUUAGUUAACUGGAAGGAUGAAAAAGGUGAAACAGUACUGCAUGUAGCAGUGAAGAUGAACGAUAUCGAGGUGAUUUUUGAUGAACUCAUUUCAGCUAUGCAUGACAAGAUUAUAUUGCAUUGCAUUACAAUUAGAUUAUAUAACCGGCCAAAUUUUAUAGGAAGUCCCUAUACUUUACAUUCUUCUUUGUAGCUUUAGUAAAUUUACUACAUUUGAUCAAUUCUAGUUUUGGUUUAGACCGGGUUGUCUUCGGUUUGUGAUGAUGAUUUUGGGUUUUAAUUUUAGGUUUAAUUAAUUUUUCAUUUUUAAAAAUAAAAAUUUUGUGCCGAUGGGGCAAGAAAAUUUGCCAUGCCUGUCGGGUUAACGAUUUGAUUUUAAGUUUUUCGGGGCAAUAUAUUAUUGGUAUUUAAAUUUAGUUUUAUUGUUAAAUUUGAUAAUUGAAAUUUUUUUUUGUUUUAAUUUAGUACCUAAGUUUGAUUUUAAUUUUUUAUUAGAUCAAAUGGCGUCAUGUACCCCAAUGAAUGUUUGACAUGUGUACUUUAAUCAAAAAUGUACUUAAUUGAAAAAAAAGAAGCUCAAGUACCAAAUUAAAAAUUGAAGCUAAACUCCAAUUCUUACUUUUUUUUUCUUUUUUUACCAUUGUCUAAGAACAAAAAUCACAAAUUUUAAGUCAUUUUUCUGAACUAUCCAACUAUUUUCUUUUGAGUCAAGUUUAAAAUUUUAAUAUUCAAAAUGUCGAAUGAAAUUAAAAUUGAUAAAGUUGGAAUGCAGGACCAAAUCCACUAGAACACAUAGUACAUGAACAAUUAGGAUAAUUUAACCAUGAUAAUCCUUUCUUCAAUGGUAAUAAGAUGAUCAUUGCAAAAUCCUACCUUGCAGGUUGUGAAAUCGUUACUAAACUCUAAAAUCAACGUGAAUGCAAAAAGCCUAGAAGGUAAAACAGUUCUGGACAUUCGCGCUGGCAAUAAUCCAGACAUGGAAAAAGUUUUAAUCCAAGCAGGAGCUAAAAAUAGUGAUGUAAUGAAGGCCAACAACAUUAAUGCUAUUCCUUCCUGUUGGGAAGAAACCGAACAACCGAAACAAAGCGAAAGCACAACCGGUGUUCUUUCUCUCCUUAUAACUCCUGUAAAAAAUUAUGGCAAGCACAAUAGCACAAGAUAUGUUCUCUAGCAACCUUAAUCAACCACAAAUCAACUAAUGCAACCACAACAAAAAUAAAUAGAGACACCAAUAUUUUUACGUGGAAAACCCCUCUAAAUUAAGGGUAAAAACCACGGGACUUUAGAGUCCGAUAAAGAGCUCCACUAUCAUCAAAUGUUCAACUACAAGAUCACAAUAUCAAGCCUACAACAAGCAUUCAACUCCGACAAGGCUAACAACAUGUAAUCUUUAGCAAAAGAGAGAAAAAUGAGAGAACAUCACCAAAAACGUAGCUGCUGAAAAAUGGGUAUUUCCGACGCUACAAGACUCGGAUGAAAAAUCCGACCGUACAAAGUCAAGAACACCUUAUCACCUAGCUGCUGUCCAAAAAUCAGCUCAAUCGAACCACGGAUGGACCUUCGAUCGAAGAGUUGAUCACUGUUGCACCAAGCUUGAAAAUCUGAUUUUUUUCUAUUCUCUUUCUCUCUAUUUUUUCUUUAGCUCUCUGCAGAAAAAUUUCUGCCCAACACCCGUUAAUAAGCCAAAAAAUUGGCUUUUGACAAAACCAAAAGAAAAAGGAAGGCAAAACAUUUGUGCCAGAAAAUAUGGGUUUCCCACAUAGUGGGACCCAUACCCAACAAAUCUCCCCCUCCAACUAUGUGGGGAAUGCCUCCAUACCGGAGGUCAAACAACAUGCUUCAAAUUUUCCUCUUGGUAAGGCCUUCGUCAACAUAUCAGCACCAUUAUCAUUAGUGUGUAUCUUCUCAAGCUCUAACAGCUUAGCUUCAAGAACAUCUCGUAUCCAAUGGUACCUCACAUCAAUAUGCUUAGAUCUAGCAUGAAAAGUUGAGUUCUUACCAAGAUGAAUAGCACUCUGGCUAUCACAGUACAGGACAUACUUCUCCUGAGUAAAACCAAGCUCAUGCACAAACUUCUUCAUCCAAAGCAUCUCCUUACACGCUUCGGUUGCUGCAAUGAACUCUGAUUCGGUGGUGGACAAUGCAACACACUUUUGCAGUCUCGAUUGCCAUGCCACAGCUCCCCCUGCAUAAGUGAUUAAGUAACCUGAAGUAGAUCUCCUCGAGUCAAUGUCUCCGGCCAUGUCUGAAUCUGUAUACCCAACAAGAACAGGUUUCUCAUUGCCGAAACAAAGUUUCAUGUUGGAAGUGCCACGAAGAUAUCUCAUAAUCCACUUCACUGCAUUCCAAUGCUCUCUGCCUGGAUUAGAAAGAAACCGACUAACUGUACCAACGGCAUAAGCCAAGUCUGGUCUCGUGCAAACCAUUGCGUACAUCAAACUACCCACGGCUGAAGAGUAAGGAAUUUUCUGCAUCUCUUCCUUCUCCUUUUCUGUGGAAGGACUAUGCUUAACACUCAAUCUAAAGUGCAUAGCAAAGGGAGUAUUCACCGCUUUAGCUUUGUCCAUACUAAACCUUUGAAGUACUUUCUCAAUGUACCUCUCUUGUGAUAACCAUAAUUUCUUGGCCUUUCUAUCACGUGUCAGUCUUAUGCCAAGAAUUUGCUUUGCUGGCCCCAAAUCCUUCAUUGCAAAGGAUUUACUCAACUCUUGUUUCAACUUCUCAAUUCUAGAAGCAUUCUGACCAACAAUAAGCAUAUCAUCAACAUAGAGCAAAAGAAUAAUAAAAUCAUCACCAGAGAAUCUCUUAACAAACACACAAUGAUCAGAAGUAGUCUUCUUGUAGCCUUGCUCCCCCAUAACAGACUCAAACUUCUUGUACCAUUGCCUUGGAGCUUGCUUCAAACCAUACAAGCUCUUCUUCAAUCUGCACACAUAGUCCUCUUUCCCUUGUGCAACAAAACCCUCUGGCUGCUCCAUGUAAAGCUCUUCUUCCAAGUCACCAUGAAGAAAAGCAGUUUUCACAUCCAUUUGUUCAACCUCUAGGUCAUAACAAGCUGCCAAACUCAGUAUAGUUCUGAUAGAGGACAUCUUCACAACCGGAGAAAAUAUUUCUUCAAAAUCAACCCCCUUUUUCUGAGUAUAACCCUUGACGACCAAUCUAGCUUUGUAUCGUGGAGAUGAAGACUUCUCUUCUUGCUUCAACCUGUAAACCCACCGAUUCUUCAAAGCUCUUUUGCCCUUAGGCAGUUUCACCAAUUCAAAAGUAUGGUUCUCAUGCAAGGAUUGAAGUUCGUCUUUCAUCGCUUCAACCCACUGAUCUUUGCAUUCACUCUCCAUAGCCUCUUCAUAACAUUCAGGUUCUCCCCCGUCAGUCAAAAGAACAUAUUCAUCAGGAGAAUACCUGACAGAAGAUCGUCGAUCUCUGGAAGACCUUCGAAGUGGAACUGCUGGUGGAGCUAUAGGUGCUUGUUGUUGAUCAUUCACAACAUCAUCCAUGGGAGUAUCAAAGUCACCUAUAGUCUGAUGGUCACCACUAACAUCACCAUGCACAUCAUCCUGGAUAGGAUCUGGUGAAGAGUCUAAGGGAACCGGAUUCACAUCGAUCAAGUCACCACUACCUUGUGAAUCCACUUUCUCCGUUUUAUCAAUGUCAUCAAUGGUCUGAUCCUCAAUGAAGACAACAUCUCUGCUUCUCACGAGUUUCUUCUGAACUGGAUCAUAGAGUCUAUAACCAAACUCACCAUCUAGACCAUAACCAAUAAAAAUGCAUUGUCGAGCCUUGGCAUCCAACUUGGAUCUUUCAUCCUUUGGAACAUGAACAAAUGCUUUACAACCGAACACACGUAGGUGAUCAUAUGACACGUCUUUACCAAACCAAACUCUAUCUGGCACAUCACCUUUCAAAGGAACACUAGGAGACAGAUUUAUCACAUGUGUCACUGUAUUCAAAGCUUCAGCCCAAAACGAUCUUGGUAACUUUGCAUCUGACAACAAACAUCUGACUCUCUCAAUCAAUGUUCGGUUCAUUCUUUCAGCUAACCCAUUUAACUGUGGAGUCUUUGGUGGUGUUCUCUGAUGUCUGAUUCCCUGUCGCAGACAAUACUCAUGAAACGACCCUGUGUACUCGCCACCAUUAUCAGUACGAAUGCACUUCAACUUCUUCCCAGUUUCCCUUUCAACUGAUGCUUGAAACUGUUUAAACACCUCAAAGACUUGAUUUUUAGACUUUAAAGUGUAAACCCAUAGCUUUCUUGAACAAUCAUCAAUGAAAGUCACAAAGUAAAGUGCACCACCAUGUGAUCUUACUUUUAUCGGACCACAAACAUCUGAAUGGACCAACUCUAGCAACUCUGAUUUCCUAUGAGGAGGAUGGCUUCUAAAUGAAACUCUUUUCUGCUUUCCUGCUAGACAAUGAGCACAAUUCUUCAGUGUAGCAUUCUUUAAACCCGAAAGUUGAUUCUUCUUCGCUAAACAGCUAAGCCCCUUCUCACUCAUGUGACUGAGUCGUUUAUGCCACAACUCAGUUGAGUUGUCAUUCAGUGUCACAUUCACCGUCUCUCGAGAAGUCAAAGCUUGCAUCAAGUACAAAUUUGAGCUCUUCUUUCCUCGAGCCACAACCAAGGAGCCUUUAGUCAGCUUCCACUGCCCUUCACUGAAGGUGUUACAGAAUCCCUCAUCAUCAAGUUUUCCUGCAGAAAUCAAAUUCAAACGGACAUCCGGUGCAUGUCUGACAUCCUUGAGAGUUAACUUUGUUCCAUUGUUACUUACCAAGCUAACAUCUCCCAUACCAAUAACCGAAACCAAACCAUCAUUACCCAUCUUCAAUACCCCAAAAUCACCAGGAGUAUAAGAUGUGAAGAAUUCCUUCCUCGACGUGACAUGAAGUGAUGCACCAGUAUCAAUCACCCAACUAGUCUCGUCGCAUGCUAGGUUGACCAAAUUCUCAUCACAAAUAACUAACAGAUCUUCACGAGUAACAGUAGCAACACGCUCGAAUUUUUCAUCGUCAUUCCGAUCGUGUUUAUCACCACCACAUUUGUUCUCUUUCUUCCACUUGAAGCAAUAUUUCUUGAUAUGACCUUUCUUACCACAAUGAUGACACUCAAGAUUCUUGUAUCUCGAUCUUGACUUGCUUCGGCUUUUAUCUCUACCCUUUCCAUCUUUGUCUCUGUUUCUCCCCCUGUUCUCGAUAACCAACACCUCGGACUGUGAUGUAGAACCCUGAGAUCUUCUUCUAACCUCUUCAUUCAACACACCACUCUUAGCCAAAUCCAAAGUAAUAAUACCCUGUGGGGCAGAAUUAAUGAGUGAGACUCGAAAGGUCUCCCAAGAGUCUGGUAGAGUAGCAAGCAACCAAAGUCCUAAAAUCUCGUCAUCAAAUUUGACACCCAUACCAAGCAACUGAUUCAUCAUACUCUGAAAUUCACUAACAUGGUCAGCUAUAGACAUUCCUUCUUUAUAUUUCAGCGCCAUCAUUUUCUUCAGCAAAAAUAACUUGUUAUUGCCCGACCUCGAAGCAUACAAGCUUUCAAGCUUCUCCCACAAUGUUCGAGCAUGUGUCUCCUGAUCAAUGUGAUUGUAAACAUUUUCUUCAACAAAUUGCCGAAUAAAGCCACACACUUGUUGAUGCUCAAAUUCCCAUUCUUCAUCACUUUUCGAAUCGGGUUUUUGAGUAGUAAAGACCGGAAGAUGCAAAGCCUUCACAAACAACAAGUCCUUCAUUUUAUUCCGCCAAAGUUGAUAAUUUGUGCCAUUCAACAUAAUCAUCUUGCUCGUAUUAAUUUCCAUAAUUAUCUGACACAAUAACCAAGCUCUGGUACCAGUUUGUUGGGAAGAAACCGAACAACCGAAACAAAGCGAAAGCACAACCGGUGUUCUUUCUCUCCUUAUAACUCCUGUAAAAAAUUAUGGCAAGCACAAUAGCACAAGAUAUGUUCUCUAGCAACCUUAAUCAACCACAAAUCAACUAAUGCAACCACAACAAAAAUAAAUAGAGACACCAAUAUUUUUACGUGGAAAACCCCUCUAAAUUAAGGGUAAAAACCACGGGACUUUAGAGUCCGAUAAAGAGCUCCACUAUCAUCAAAUGUUCAACUACAAGAUCACAAUAUCAAGCCUACAACAAGCAUUCAACUCUGACAAGGCUAACAACAUGUAAUCUUUAGCAAAAGAGAGAAAAAUGAGAGAACAUCACCAAAAACGUAGCUGCUGAAAAAUGGGUAUUUCCGACGCUACAAGACUCGGAUGAAAAAUCCGACCGUACAAAGUCAAGAACACCUUAUCACCUAGCUGCUGUCCAAAAAUCAGCUCAAUCGAACCACGGAUGGACCUUCGAUCGAAGAGUUGAUCACUGCUGCACCAAGCUUGAAAAUCUGAUUUUUUUCUAUUCUCUUUCUCUCUAUUUUUUCUUUAGCUCUCUGCAGAAAAAUUUCUGCCCAACACCCGUUAAUAAGCCAAAAAAUUGGCUUUUGACAAAACCAAAAGAAAAAGGAAGGCAAAACAUUUGUGCCAGAAAAUAUGGGUUUCCCACAUAGUGGGACCCAUACCCAACACUUCCAUGAAGCAAGUAAGUUUUGAACCAAAGCCUACACUUCUUGAUAAUGUCAUACGGUUCCUAAAAGGCCAGAAAACAAAUAUCUCGACCGAAACAUGUGAUGCUUUGCUAGUGGUGGCUGCACUGGUUGCAACAGCCACUUUCCAAGCGGUUCUCAGCCCACCGGGAGGGCUUCGACAGGCUGACAGUAGCGACAGUGAUUCACUUCCGUUCAGCAAGGUGGGGAAGGUGGUGAUGAAAGAAUGGUUAUACAUAACUUUCUUGAUUCUUAAUAGUACUUCAUUUUGGGUGACAAUCAUAACCAUUUAUCUUUUACUCCCAAACGGGUUUUAUGGUCAGCUAUCGACUCUACCCUUAAUUCUCUUCUCGAUUACCUACUUGUUCUGCUCAACAAUCAUAUCACCAAGCCUCAUUUGUGCCAUUGUUAAUUUCAGCUUUUUCAUAUGUUGUGUGGUGUUACUAAGUUCAGGCCUUGUGGUUAUAUCCAAUCAUUCCUUGUUGUCCUACAUCAAGAAAUUAUGGUCCCGUUGCAGAUAGGAUGAUUUACUUGUGGAUUUGGAGUUUGUUGCAUGGAACCUCCUCAUCACUUGUUUGUGUUGUGUUACUCUGUCUAUGACAUAACGUUGAAACUCUAUUGCUAAUUGUUGAAUAAUGUAUUGUAAUUAAAGUUUGUAUUCAAUCAGUGAGAUGGGAAUGGAUGAAUUUAAGAAAUUUAGUAGCCAUUUAAUUAGGAUG
Molecule: long non-coding RNA, 61774 nt
Filed under: Gossypium barbadense (sea-island cotton)
Lineage: Eukaryota; Viridiplantae; Streptophyta; Magnoliopsida; Malvales; Malvaceae
Description: long non-coding RNA (GBAR_LNC015199)
Source: RNAcentral